RNAcentral lists this long non-coding RNA (57697 nucleotides) under Cucumis sativus (cucumber). RNAcentral's name for it is "long non-coding RNA (CSAT_LNC001125)". The stretch from base 2281 to 2354 matches the Rfam family "tRNA". Lineage: Eukaryota; Viridiplantae; Streptophyta; Magnoliopsida; Cucurbitales; Cucurbitaceae. The record is from RNAcentral.
GAAAAAAGAAUUGUCACAAAAGGUUAAAAUUCGUGUAACAGGAAAAGAAAAUUUUGUUGGAUAACACUUUUGCCACAAUUAUUUGUUGUAUACAUAAAAUAAUCUAUUUAAUUUAUUAAAAUAAAGUUAAUUUUAAAUGAAAAGUGUAUGAAAGAUUUUUCCCCAAUUCUAAAAUGUUUAAAGCCAACAUUUUUUCCAACCCUCACGCGAAGAAGGGCAUCUCCAAUCCGACCAUCAAUCUGUGCCCGUCACCACCACUGCUCCCUCGUGCCUGUCUCUUCACUCCAGUGCCGCUGCAACCUCCUCUACCAGACGAUCACGACAUCUCCUCUGCUGCAACCUCUUCAAUCCAUGACUGUCAUCUCCAAUCCGCCGCGACCUCUUCAAUCUGUGCCCGUCACCUCAGUCUUAUGUUCCUUCUUUCUUUCUCUCUCUCUGUGACGUUCUCUCUUACUCUUUUCCACAACUCCAUGAGCGAAACUAGGUAUGAAAUUUGCAAUUGUCGUCUGAGCUUUUCUGGGGCAAACACCCCUAGAUGAUAUAUAUCAAAUAAAAGUUCGAUGUACUUAUGUUUGCAAUUUAUGUUCUGAUUUAUCUUUAACUUAAAUUAGAUCGAAAAAAAUAUUUAAGAGUUGAAGCUGAAAGAGAGUAAGAGAAAAAGGUAGAAGGUCCUGAAAAUCUCGUUCAUGUGUUUAGGUUUAUGAGAUGUUUAGGGUUUAGGAAAUUUGAGUUUAUGAUAUAUUUUAGGGAUUUUGGCUUUAAAGACUAUGAAUGGAGUAUAUAUAUACCUUCUCUGCUGUGUAUUUUUUCAAUUGAAGACUUUGGCUUUAGUGUUUUGUUUGAAGAGUUUCAUUUUGAGGUGAAUGAACGUGUAUUGGUGAAUAUAAUUCAGAAUCAUUAAUAUUGUUGGUCUUAAAGUUGUACUUGUGAUCGUUGUUGAAGUAUGAGGUUUAUGAGAAGAUUGUAACUUUAAUCGUUGUUGAAGUAUGAGGUUCAUGAGAAGAUUGUUCUUUGGUGUUGAGGGGAGCAUAAUAUUUCAUCAUUAGUUGAGAAAGAGUUCUCUGACUCCAAUUUAGGAGGAACCUAAAUGAAGUGUCUUGGGAAUGAUCAUUCUGAGAUAGUUAAAAUUACACUUUUUUUUUCUAAUUGUCAAAGUUAUUUUCCUUGAGAUGACGGAGUUUGACAUAAACUUAAAUUGAUUUAAAUUUUUUCUAAAAUCAUUUCAAGUUGAUUAUGAAUACUAGUUGAAGUGAUGACCGAUAAUAUAGUAAAUAGUGAGUAAAAAAAUUGUUAUUAUAAUUACUGUUUUAGUUUAAAAUAAUAGUAAGAAUCAAUUAGGUAAAUAAUUGAGAAUAUAUUUAAAAGAAAGAACAAUACUUUAAAUGGAAAUUGAGAAUAUAUUUAAAACGAAAAAUAUUAAUUUAUUCAACUGUAACGAUUACUUAAAAAAGUUGAAAAUUUCACAUCGUAUUUAAAGAAAGUAAGAAAAAUUAUUUUACGAGAACUAGGAUAAACUGGUAAAUUAAAUAUACGAAAUUUGUGUAUUAGAGAUAGAAUAUGAAUUUGAAAGAAAAAUAAUAAUUUAUUCGUACAUAACAAUUACGUAAGAAAACGUUGAAAAUGAGCGUCACAUUUUAAAAAAAUUAUGAAAGUUGUUUUACGAAAAUAAGAUAAUUUAGUAAAUUAAUUAUAAGAAAUUUGUGUAUUAGAUUUGAAUACGAAUUAAAAAAAUAUAAAAAAAAAUAACACUAACUACAUGACAUUUCCCUCCAACCCAUAUUAUCAUAAUACUACAUACCACAAUUAUUUUUCCAAAGACAUACCAUGAUAACACUAGUUAACUAUUUCAUAACGCAGCCCUUUCCCUAAACGGCUCCUACUUCUUAAUCAAGGACUUGCGAUUCUCUUCCCUUUUAGUAAUUUUUAAGAUAGCAAAAUUGCAUCUAAAUUUUUGUGUAUGAUUUUUGGAUGUGUGUGGGAGGAACGGUAGAAAUUGGACUAUAUAUAAAGGAUACAAUAUAUUGAUAUGCUUAGUUCCCUUCCUCACCUAUUUUGAAUGUGUCAAAUAAAUACUUGCAAUUAAUAAUUAGGAAGCAUCUUUUAAGGUUACACAAUUCUAACUCAUUUUAAUUGAGAAUAUUUUCAGUGUAUCUAAUGAUUCGAAGAAUAGAACAGAAAGUUACAUUUGGUUGGAACAAUAUCAAAUUUUGAAGUUGUAUCGUGGGCGCCUAUUGUGCUAUUUUUAUAUUAUAAUUUUAAAUCUCUACUCAUCUACAACAUGACCGCAUAGCGCAGUGGAUUAGCGCGUUUGACUUCGGAUCAAAAGGUCGUGGGUUCGACUCCCACUGUGGUCGAUUUAAUUUUUUGCUUUAUAAAUUAUGGGAUUUAAUAUAAUUAUGUUUUUUAAAAAAAAGAAAGAAAUAAAGAAAAGCACUUAUUUUUAAUUUAAUUUUGUAAAGCAAUGGAGAUGAGGUAGAAUCUCAUUCCCAAUCUAAAAGCAAAUAUAGCAUUUGAGAGAAUAAAGCAGAGAGACCUCCAACAUAUUUCCAAUCAACACACAUCUCCUACUUACCAUUCAAACUGAAAUCUUUGAAUUUCCCAAGUCAUUCAAACCUCAAAAGUCUAUACCAUAAUACAAUAAUAAUGUAAUUCCUGGACUUGUUUAAUAACAAGCAGUCUUCAAGCACAAUUCUUCUUUUUUUUUUCUUUUUUUUUUUAUUCAAGUCAACAAAAGCCUUUGAGAUACAACAUCAAAAUGAUCUCCAACAUUAACAAAGAUGGAUCAAAAUCUUCAAUAAACAAGCAAAAACAGAUAUAAUAUCAUAUCUAUAUUCUGCCCAAAGAAGAGGGGAAACCAAAAGCUCUCAUCUUUAUACUCCAACACUCACCAAUACCAUGAAAGCAGAAAAUCGGAAAAAGAAAAAAAAAACUGUAAACUCCGCGCGAUCAUCCAUGGCCAAGUGGGAGGGUUUGAAAAGAAACUAUAACCAAAAGCUCUCCUCUUCUUGUUGUGUCAUCUCACCAAACACGCCAAGUGGGAGGGUUUGAAAAGAAACUAUAACUCACUGUCAUAAAGCAAAUGGGAGUCCCAUGAUGAAGAGAUCUUCCUCAUGGUAGCUCGACCCUGCAGAGCUUUCACUAUCAUCUUUGGAAGUUUUGUUCAAUUUAUGUUCUCCAAAAAUCUCCUCAGAGCUGCACUGUGAACUACAAAAAGCUUUUCCAUCCCUGAUAUAGUAAAAGGAACAAUCACAUAAGCAAAAGAUAAAGUUUGGAGUUGGAGUUCAUAAGUUACAGAAAUUCUUACAAAUCAGCCAAACAAACAAACCUGCAUAAAUAAAUAUCAUGCUCUUCUUUCAAAACUUUCUUGCAUGAGUAACAGAUUUGCAAAUUUGCAUCCACAACUCCGUGAUCAAACCCUUCAGGGCAACUUCCCAACGGAGAUGAUUCGAUCCCAGGCUCUUCAAUCGUACUGGAACCAAUGUUUUCAUCUGUGUGACAUUCCAAAAUACAGUCACCAAAAAUGUGUGUUGUCUUUGGGUUUGGACCAUGAGAAAUUAUGCAGGUAUAGUCCUCGGAAAGUUCUAUUUCUCUAGCAGUAAGUGAGCCUACAUAAGCAUUGCUUGAGCCAAUAGUUAUAGGCAAGGAACAGGAUUUGAUUGGCAAAGAAUUUUCCCUUUGAGGGCUAUUGUUAAUCAUUGGAAAGAUGGUGUUAUUACUUUCCAGUGGAAAAUUUUCAGUACUUGGAUCAGAAUUUUGAGUCAAGUCGAUACCAGAGGAGGAAAAGCUGGCAGCAUUUGACAAAAAUGAUGCAUUAUUUUCAAAGGGUGGUUCAGAUUCUAAAGCAGAAAAUUCUCCAUUGCCACAGAUAUUAUCUAUGGCUCCGGAAUUGGAGCUUGGAAUUUUGGCUUUGGAAAGUGACGAGAUUGUAUAAUUGCUAGGCAAAGAAUAAGAUUUCAAAGAAGAACCCAAAUAUUUGAUAUAAUGGUUCGAGGAUUUAGAGAUCUUAGUUUUAAUUUGUGGUCCAAAAAUUACAUUCUUCCUCCAGUUUGAGUCCCGAGGUUCACUGGUAGUUCCACAGUCAUCAACAACAAUAGAAUUUAUGAUGCCAAGACCGACUUCACUAGAAACAAACUUAUUUUGACGACCACUUUCAGUUUCAGCAGAUGAUAUGGAUUUAAAACCAAAAGGGUUGCUUAGAUUGGAAAAUAGCCUGAAAUCCAAAGGCGAAGUAGGACUUCUAAGCGAAUCACUGUCUACUGAACUUUUUUGACCCUAACCCGGCAAAAAAUCCAGGAAUACUGAACAACGAACUGCUUAUAUGUUUCCCCAAUGAGCCAGAUUGUAAGUAGGAGUCUGAAUCAGACUGAGCCAUCAAACAACCAUCAAAUACUCUCUCUUUUCUACAAGAACUACUAAGCCUUGUCCAGAACCAUUACUAUUUCUCUCUAAAACAACAACCAAGAUUUGCUCACUGCAUCAAGUAACUGCCAAAAAAAUUAGAAAUUACAAUCUUCUUGGAGCAGCAAGGAUUAACAUGAGAAAUAUCAAGAACAAAAACGAAGGGAAGUUUACUUUGGUCUUUAAAAAUCAAAACAAUUCAAAAGUAAGUUUUCGAAUCUUAUUUUGGUCUUCAACAUUCAUACAUAUCUGAUUUUACAUUUUCCAACAUUUCAACUUAUAAAACUCCAACUUCACAUAAAAAAAUCUUAUUUUCGUCUUUGCCCAACAUAUCCCAAUCAUACAUUCAACAAAAAUCUGAUGUAGUACCACAUAAAACUUAUAUUUUAAACCACAAAUAUCAUAUAAUUGGUAGCAGUAAAUCCAGAAAUAGAAGCCUAAGAAUUUAACAAAAAUAGAUUUUUAUGAAGAUUAACCAGAACAGAAGUUUAAAUAAGAACUGCAAUCAAACUCAAAAGAAGUAUUAAAUACAUUCCACAAAAAAGUUUUGUUAAAUUCCAAUGAAAAUCAAAUUUCUGAAGAAAUCCCUAAGUACCCGGACGGUUUUAGGUUUCCAAAAACAACGCACAAAUUAUUCGCAAAGAAACAAAUAAUUAAAAACUUUCCCAAAAUGAUCAAUAAUCGAAGAUAAACACAAGAUUUCAAAGCACAUAUAGUACACACAAAAACCAAGCUUCAAAUCAACAUUCGUAGUUCCCAACUCCAAAUAAACAACAGAAUUCCAAAGCUAGGAAAACGCAAUCCUAAUUAGAAACCAAACACAAAAACCUAUUAACAUUUCUUCAUCGAAACAGUUCCCAGAAAAAAGAAAAAGAAAAAAAAAAAAAAACAAAAGGAAACAGAAAUCGAACUCUAAAGCAAAAGGGUAUUAAAAAAAUUAGAAAAGAAACAGAAAAGAUGAAGAGGAAUGCGAAAAAUAAAGGAUGGAUCAGCAAUGCAGAGAAAAGAGCACCUGAUUUUGGGUGAAAACCAUGGAAGAAGAAGAAGAAGAAGAAGAAGAAGAAGAAGAAUAAGAAGAAAGAGGAGGGAAAAAUGCAAGAAAUGAAAAUGAUAAGAAAGAGCAGGCAAAAUCUGGGAAAAGUCUGGUUGGUUGUUGAAGUAAAGGGUAUAGUUAGAAGGUUUAAUCCGCCAUUUUUGGUGCUCUCGAAGGUAUCAAAAUGAGAGGAAAGGCAAAUAAAAACCAUCACAGAGCCAUUCUGAAAUACCACAAUUUCUCUCUCUAUCUGUAGGAGAAUAACUAAUGUAUUGUGUACGCCAGUUUCGUAUAAAUGUACGUAUAUUCUUCGACGGAAAAUGUUAUGUGUGAACACUCCCACGGAAAGAUAAGAUGCGCACAAUCAAAAUGUAAACAUUCUUCUGCUAUAACAUCACCAUCAUCAUCCCCAGAUUAUCCAAAUUUCUCCAUUUAUUAAACCCAAACAAUUCCCAAUUUUAAUUCAACUUAUUUUUAUUUUUAAUAUUGAUAAACUUACUUCAUAACAUAAAAAUGUAUUAUAAAACUAUGCAUUUUGAUUUAAACUUUAUGGUAUGGUUAAAUGAAUUAUGGCUAUUGAUAUGAAAUAAUAAUAUCUUGACCUUAUCUAUUUGAAUAAAUAAAUAAAACAUUUUGAGCCAUCUGUUUUCAUCUUGGGACAAAACAACAUGGCACGGUUGAGAUUUCUUUGGCACAAUAAUAGUAAUAUUUAUAUAAUAUGGACUCUUAAUCAAUCAUUGAUUUGGUUGGUUUAUUAAUUAAUAUAAAGUGUGGGCCUUAGGAUACAUGAUUCAAAUUAAUAUGUAAUUCAUCUAAUUGGUUCGCUUCUUUAAAUAAAAAUGAAUUAAUGUUGCAUUGAUAUCGCUGAUUUGGAUUUUGGUUUCAAGUUUAUCUUUCAUUAUUGUUUUAAUAAUAUUAUUUUCUGAUCCUUAUUCAUUUUUCCAAAAAUUUAUUACUUACAAUUUUAUCUUUUAAAAUAUAAAGCUUAAAUUACAUAUGAUUAUUAAAAAUUCAUGAUAUAAUCAGUUUAUUUAUAUUUAAAAGACGCUUACAUCAAUGGAUCUUCUUUUACAGCAUAUGAAUUGUUUGAGUUGGUAGUCAUAGAGCUAAUAAUUUUUUUUAAAAUUAUUCAAAUCCAAAAUUUAGGGUUAAAAUUAAUACAAAAGUAUUUGUUUGAAUAUUUAAAUUUCUUAUAUUUCAAACAAAAAGGAAAGAAAACUAAGAUUUAAAUUGACAUCUCUUUGUUAUAAUAAAAUAAGUAUUAACUAAAUAAAUUAUUUUGAAGAAAGAUUUUUUUUAUAUAUAAAUAAAACCAACUUAUUCGAGAAGAUUUUUUGCGAAUUUUUAAAAAUAGCAAAAUAAAUUAAAAUAUUUACAAGUUAUAACAAAAUUUUGGAUUUUAUCACUGAUAGUCAUUGACAUGUUACAGUGAUAGAAUUUGCUAUAGGUUGUAAAUAUUUUGUAAAAUUUGUUAUUUUUUAAAAUUCUCCAAGAUUUUUUUUAUAUUUUAUUAAAUAAAGAAAAUUGAUUAAUUUUCUUUACCCUCCUUGUACAACGGUCUCUUAUUUAAAAAAUUUCCCCUCCUUGUACAAGGUUUAGACUUUUCGAGGUGUCGAGGUUUGUGGUUUUGGGGUUUCAAGUUUCGAGCUCUGGGUUCGUGGUUUGAGGUUCGAGGUUCGAGAUUUGGGGUUUGAGGUUCGAAGUUAGGAGUGCUUUAGGGUUUAGUGUUUAGGAUUUUGGGUUCGGGUUUUGAGAUUGGGGUUUCGAGUUUCAUGUUUUGGGGUUUUAGGGUUUUGGGGUUGGGAGUUUAGAGGUUUGGAGGUUGGGAGGUUGGAAGGUUUGAGGGUUGGGUUUAGGGGUUUUGGGUUUCGUUCAAGGUUUUGGGGUUUGGGGUUGGGGGGUUUGGGAGUUGGGGUUGGAAGGUUUGGCAGUUGGGUUUAGGGGUUUUGGGUUUCGAGGUUUCAAGGUUUGUGGUUUUGGGGUUUUCGAUUUCGAGUUCAGGGUUCGAGGUUCGAGGUACGAGGUUCAUGAUUUGGGAUUUGGAGUUAAGGGUACUUUAGGGUUUAGUGUUUAGGAUUUUGGGUUUGGGGUUCGGAGUUCGUGGUUUGGGGUACUUUGGGGUUUAUGGAUUAGGGGUUAAAGUUUAGGAUUUAUGGUUUACGGUUUUUUUAGGGCUUAAGGUUUAAGGUUUCAGAUGCAUGGAUCGGUUCGGGGUUCGUGAUUUCAGGAUUCGGGGUGUAGCGUUUGGGAUUUCAGGAUUUAGGGUUUAGGAUUUAGGUUAGAGUUAUAGGGUUGUGUGUUAUUAGAUUCUGAGACAAUGACCAAUAUUAAUCAAAGUUCGAUACCCAUAAUAAGAAGCUCAAUUUUUCAAACCAAUCCAUAGUACAAAAUAAAUAGAUAUUCCUUAAAUAAUAGAAAUUGUUAUCUCCACCAGCAAAGUUUGAAGUUAGGAUUACGUGUUUCGAAUUUCGAGUUUCAGGGUUUAGGGGUUUUGGGGUUGGGGGUUGGGGUUUUGGAGGUUUAGGGGUUAGGGGUUGGAAGGUUUGAGGAGUUGGGGGUUGGGUUUCGAGGUUUAGAUUUUUCGAGGUUUCAACGUUUUGGGGUUUUGGGAGUUGGGGGUUUGGGGUUUGGGGGAUGGGAGGUUGGAAGGUUUGGGGUUUGGGUUUUGGUUUCGUGGUUCAAACUUUUCGAGGUUUUGAGGUUUGUGGUUUUGGGGUUAUAGGUUUCGAGGUUCGAGGUUUGAGGUUCAAAGUUCAGGGUUUGGGGUUAAGGGUUCAGGGUACUUUAAGGUUUAGUGUUUAGGAUUUUGGGUUUGGAUUUCAGGAUUGGGGAUUGGGGUUUGGGGUUUGUGGGUUGGGGUACUUUGGGGUUUACCGUUUAGGGGUUAAAGUUUAGGAUUUAUGGUUUACGGUUUUAGGGGUUUAGGGGUUUAGGGUGAAUGGAUCGGUUCAGAGUUCGUGAUUUCAAGAUUCGGGGUGGAGCGUUUGGGGUUUCAUAGUCUAAGUUAGGUUAGAGUUAUAGGGUUGUGUGUUAUUAGAUUUCGAGACGAUGACCAAUAUUAAUCAAAGUUUGAUACCCAAAAUGCAUGUAAAUCGAAUCAUAAUAUGAAACUCAAAAUUUCAAAUCAAUUCAUAAUACAACAUGCAUAGAUAUUCUCUAACUAAUAGAAAUUGUUAUCUCCACCAACAAAGUUUGAAGUUAGGAUUACAGGUUUCAGAUUUCGAGUUUCAGGGUUUUGGGGUUUUAGGGUUGAUGGUUAGGGGUUUGGAGGUUUGGAGGUUUGGGGGUUGGGUUUCGAGGGUUGUGGUUUUGGGGUUUCAGGUUUCGUGUUCAGGGUUCGAGGUUCGAGGUUCGGGUUAAGGGUACUUUAGGGUUUAGUGUUUAGGAUUUUAGGGUUCUGGUUUCGAGAUUGGGGAUUUGGGUUUGGGUUCAAGGUUCGUGGUUUGGGGUACUUUAGGGUUUAUGGUUUAAGGGUUAAAGUUUAGGAUUUAUGGUUUACGACUUUAGGUUUUUAGGGGUUUAAGGUUUAGUGUUUUAGGUUUCAGGGUUUAGGGUGCAUGGAUCAGUUUGGGGUUCGUGAUUUCGGGUUUCUAGGUAGAGCAUUUGGGGUUUCAAGUUUUAGGUUUCGGGGUUUUGGGGUUUUUGGGAUUUUGGGUUUGGGGGUUGGGUUAGGGGUUUUAGGUUUCGAGGUUUAGACUUUUCGAGGUUUCGAGGUUUGUGGUUUUGGGGUUUCAGGUUUCGUGUUCAGGGUUUGAGGUACGGGGUUCGGGGUUAAGGGUGUUGGAAUUUUUUGUCCUAAAACUCGUAGUUUGUAAAUCAUAUUCUGUUCAAUAAAGUUGUUAUUGAGAAAUUAAAUAUUAUAAUCUUAAAUCCAAUAAAUCAAGUUCCAAGGCUAUUUUUGAAUAAACUUGAACUUUAUGUGUAAACAUAAACGUGGAUCAAGUUCGAGUAUAUAGCCUAAAUAGUCUAUAGUAUAUGAAAUAAAGGUUGGGCGCCUUAUUUAGGAAAACUAUGGAUGCGGCCCACUUUGUAGUACAAACGAGGUGAUCCUAAUCGUUCAUGUAGAGACAUGAAAGUGGGGGCAUCAUAUGUAAAAUGUUUACAUAAGACUGAACCAUGAAUUAGUCUUUUUUACGUUAUAACACUGUUUAAUGUUUAAAACUAACUAUCUCAAUUAUUGAUGACCUAGGUAGCUUAGUCUUAAUCCUGAGUUAACUAUGAACUCCUGCUCACACGAGAUUAUCCUUAGAUCUGCAUAGGUGAUGGCAGCUCAUCAGCGUUGGCCCAAUAAGCCUCCCAUUUCAGGGGUAAGAUCGGGUGGAUAGCUGGGAACAUAGGGUACAAGAUGGAAUUUACUCCUACCCGCUUUAGGGUUAGUAGAUAGGUUGUUCUCUUAAGCACUGAAUCCAAGUCUUGAACAAGGGGCCCACCCUCUCAUUGGCCGAGAGGGAUUAAGUUUAUAGGUUGAACCUUAAACCAAUUGUUCAAUGGUGGAUUAGUGGAACUUAAGGAGCAAGAUGUAAUCUUAGGGGUAAAACGAUAUUUUGACCCAGCCAAGGUUACGAGCAACCUGUGAAUGAUUAACUUACUGAUUAUGGUUUUAUCAAAUGAACACAAAUAUAUCUAUAGUGAGGGGAGUGCAACUACGAGACUUUAGUGGAAUGACCCGUUAGUUAACGAAUGUUGAUUAACUCAGUUUAAAAGAGUUUAGCUAGUUAAUCUUGAAUCGUUGGAGCCCGUGAUCUAUAGGUCCAUUAGGUUCCUUUGCUAGCUCAUAUGGAUUAAACUUAGAACAGUGUGAUGAAAUAAGUCGAAUUGUUCGAAUUGGGAGAAGAAAGAGAAACCGACAAAUAUAGUGAUAUAGUCGUCGGUCUUCUAAUUAGAAAUAGAGCUUUAUGUUUUACAUACUAUAAGUAUGAAUACAGAUUCAUACUAAGAAGCUCGGAAUUGAUGGAAUUGGUCAAAAAUAGUAAAAAGUCAAAAUGUUGACUUUUGAUUUUGAAAAGUCAAACUUUGACCGGCCUUAUAUUCAAAUGUGAUUUGAAUUUUGGAAAAAUGAAUGCGGAUUCAUGCUCGGGAGGUUGGAAUUAGUCAAGACGGACAAAAUGGUAAAAAGUCAAAAUAUUGACUUUUGACUAAGAAAAGUCAAAGUUUGACUUUUGACUAGAAAUAUCUAAUGACCAUUUUACUCUUGGACUAAGUUAGUGGGAAAAUCCAACAUUUUGUUGGAUAAUCCCACUAACUCUUAGUGGGAUAUGUGGCUAUAUGAGAUAUAGACACCUAGCCCACUAAGUUCCACUAAUUGUUAGUGGAACAUUAGGUGUUGAGAUUUGGCAAAUGAAUUGCAUGCAUUUUUGCAUGUAAUUAGGUUAUAAAUAGAGGUGUUUUCAAAUGUUGAAGGACUUUUGCCUCUUUUAUCAUUUUCAUCAUCUCAACCAAAGAAAAAAAAGGAAACCUUCCAAUCCCAUUUUAUCUCCAUUACUUUCUACACCAAAAUUGGGUCCCACAACCCGGUUCUUUGUCUAGAGGAUAGCAGUUGAGUACUAGUGGUGGUCUCGGCUUGAAUUGGUAAGAAGAUAUCAAACUUUUUGAAAGCUUCAAAGGUAAUAUUUCCUAAAACCCUAAUUUGAUUAGUUUAUGGUUACAUGUUAAUUGUGGCAAUUAGGGUAGAAAUUCGAUUAUUUUUCCGCUGUGCAUAACUUAGUUCUAUCAAAGGGUACUUUAAGGUUUAGUGUUUAGAAUUUUAGGGUUCGGGUUUCAAGAUUAGGGAUUGGGGUUUUGGGUUCGGGGUUCGUGGAUUUGGGUACUUUAGGGUUUAGGGUUUAGGGUAGAGUUCUAGGGCUGUGUGUACUUAGAUUCCGAGACGAUGACCAAUUUUAAUCAAGUUUGAUACCCAAAAUGCAUGUAAUUCAAAUCAUAAUAAGAAACUCAAAAUUUCAAACCAAUCCAUAAUACAAAAUGCUUAAAUAUUCCCUAAAUAAUAGAAAUUGUUAUCUCCACCAAUAAAGUUUGAAGUUAAGAUUACAGGUUUCAGAUUUCAAGUUUUGAGGUUUUGGGGUUUUGGAGUUUUGGGGUUGGGAGUUUGGAGGUUUGGAGGUUUAGGGGUUGGGAGGUUUGGGGGUUUGGGGGUUGGGAGUUUGGAGGUUUGGACGUUAAGGGUUGGAAGGUUUGGGGGUUGGGUUUAGGAGUUUUGGUUUUCGAAGUUAGACUUUUCAAGGUUUUGAGGUUGGGGGUUUGGAGGUUUGGGGGUUGAGGGUUUGAAGGUUUGGUUGUUGGGUUUAGGUGUUUUGGGUUUCGAGGUUUAGACUUUUCGAGGUUUCGAGGUUUGUGGUUUUGGGGUUUCAAGUUUCGAGCUCUGGGUUCGUGGUUUGAGGUUCGAGGUUUGAGAUUCGGGGUUCGAGGUUCGAAGUUAGGUGCUUUAGGGUUUAGGAUUUUCGGUUUGGGUUUUGAGAUUGGGGUUUCGAGUUUCAUGUGUCGGGGUUUUGGGCUUUUGGUGUUGGGAGUUUAGAGGUUUGGAGGUUGGGAGGUUGGAAGGUUUGAGGGGUUGGGGGUUGGGUUUAGUGGUCUCGGGGUUUAGGGUUUGGGGGUUGAGGGUUGGAAGGUUUGAGGGUUGGGUUUAGGGGUUUUGGGUUUCAUUCGAGGUUUUGGGGUUUGGGGGUUGGGGGGUUUGGGAGUUGGGGAUUGUUCUGCACCAAGAUCACCUCUGACAACCAUUGCCUAAAAUGAAAAUAAAUGUUCUUCAAUUAGCAACAAAGCCCCAGACUACCAACAAAAUUGAAAACCUUUGAAUGAAAUUUAACAUUAACGAAGCUAUAAAAAAAUUCAAACAAUUACCCAUCAGAAGCUGUAAUAAUUGAAUGAAAAUUUGGUAUGGAGUAUACACUUUCUAUAUUUACAAUCACGUUAAUAUCAGCAUCAAAACCUGUAGAGUCAGAUAAGUUAAUAAGUUUGUAGUAGAACAGACUAGCAGAAAUGCAGCAUCCAAAUUGUAUUUAUAAGCACAACAUAAAGAUUUGAAGCUAUUUACUCUUGAGAUAUUUCAACUCAUGAAGUAGUUUGUUGUCAACUCCAAAUUUAAUAUCAUCCAAAUCCUUCUCAGCAAGAAGUAGACAACAAAUUCAUUGAGUCACAGACAAAAAAAUAAAUUUACUUAUAGAAAAAUCCCGAAAAGAAGAAACUUCACGAAAAGGUGAAAUCUAUAGGAUAUGCUUAUUCAAUCCAACCAAUAAUUGAAGGAAGUGUAGCACUUUUCCCUCGAACAUUUCAAUGUCUCAUGGACUUGAGCUCUCCUCCAUCAAUAACUUCACAUAAGACAGAAUCUUCUGUCUUAGACUUCACCAUCAACGACAUCAUUCCACCUCUAAUGGAUUUAAAUAGCCAAUGUUUGUGCAAGCCACGAGAUAAUUAGAAAAAAGAAAGCACAUGCGAUGUAACAUACAUAAAAAAAAUAAUAAUAAACAUUAUACAUCAUCUAAGAUAGCAACAAGGAAAUACUAAAGAACUUGGGCAUCACAGAGGUAUGGGUGUGGGUGUGGGUGUGGGAGGGAGAUCAAACCAUUUGCUAUAGUCAAUCCAUCCAGUGAAAAAAGUCAAUAUGUCGUUUCCCUUGGCUAAAACCAUUUGCUAUAAUCUGGCUCAUUUAGAACUUAUUUGAAAGUUCAUUGCUGUGAUAUAUAUAUAUACAUAUGUCCUUUAUUAUAAUUUUACAUGGUCUCUAGGGUUUAGUUUAUUCUCUAUAUAAAUAUGUAACAUUGCUUUGACUCAAACAUAAUAAGACAGAUACUUCUCUGAAUUCUAGAUUACAUGGUAUCAGAGCCAUUAGGGUUUCGAAUGGCCAUUAGCUUCCUCCUCCAUUAGGUUUGAGUUUAGGUUACAUUCCGCUGACCAUUUGUCGACACCGCCCAUACCAUAAGAAGCACCACCUCCGUCCGCCCAAGUCUGUCUUCGUCGAUCGCCGGAAAACACCGCGCGUGACCGUCACGCGCCACCGAAAUCAUCGUCGCCUUCACCCACGAGUCGACCCGUGAGAAGUCCGAUUUGUCUUCCGUCUUCUGGGCUUGUCUCGAACCAUUGUUUCCUGUUAGUCUAUACCAUUGGGUCUAUCAAAUAACAUUUGGGUUUGACGAAAACUGAAGGUUACACGAUUGAUUUUGGGUCUUUUUCCAAUUUUACAGCUGUUUGGAUUGAUUUUCUCUUUGUUCGUGUGGACUACAAUCAACGUGUGACUUCAAUAUGGCCGACAUAAAAAAUUUGGUAGUCUCCAACGUUAUUCCCUUGGCCUCUAAGAUCACAGAACAUAAGUUAAAUGGAUCCAAUUAUUACGAUUGGCGUCGGACAAUUUUAUUUUAUUUGAGAAGUACUGAUAUGGAUGAUCAUAUGACUGAAGAUCCCCCAAAAGAUGCAAAGCAGAAGAAGGAUUGGCUUCGUGAUGAUGCCCGUUUAUAUCUUCAGAUCAAGAAUUCAAUUGAGAGUGAGAUAAUUGGAUUGGUUGAUCACUGUGAGUCUGUUAAAGAACUUUUGGAAUUUUUGGAUUUUCUAUACUCAGGUAAAGAGCAAGUGCAUAGAAUGUUUGAAGUUUGUAUGCAAUUUUUUCGUGCGGAACAGAAAGCUGAGUCUGUCACCAGCUACUUUAUGCGGCUUAAGAAGAUCAUUGCCGAGCUUGGCUUGUUGUUACCUUUUAGUCCUGAUGUUAAAGUUCAACAAGUUCAACGAGAGAAGAUGGCUGUUAUGAUUUUCCUGAAUGGACUCUUACCUGAAUUUGGAAUGGCAAAGACACAGAUUCUCUCUGACUCCAAGAUUCCAUCAUUAGAUGAUGCCUUCACUCGAGUCCUUCGCAUUGAAAGCUCUCCGACUAGUGUGUCUAUUCCUCAACCCAGUAGUGCUCUCUUUAGCAAGAACAAUAACCCUCGAGCACCUCAGAGGAAUAGUACUGAUCAUCGAAAACCAGAGUCUGUAGAGAUUGUUUGUAACUACUGUCGUAAGCCAGGCCAUAUGAAACGUGAUUGUCGGAAAUUGCUAUAUAAGAAUAGUCAACGAUCUCAACAUGCUCAGAUAGCCUCCACAUGUGAUAUACCAGAGGCGUCAGUUACUAUUUUUGCAAAUGAGUUUGCUAAGUUUCAGAAUUACCAAGAGUCAUUACAAGCGUCAUCUUCCUCUACUCCGAUUGCAUCCACUGUUGCCCCAGGUAAUACAAAGUGUCUUCUUACAUCAUCUACCAAAUGGGUCAUAGACUCUGGUGCCACAGCUCAUAUGACAGGUAAUUCUCACCUAUUUUCUAGACCGUUGUCCCCUGCCCCUUUUCCAUCGGUUACAUUGGCCGAUGGCUCCACAUCUUCUGUUCUUGGCUCUGGCACUAUUCACCUUACCCCAUCCUUUUCUCUCUCUUCUAUGUUACAUUUGCCUAACUUAUCCUUUAAUUUAAUUUCUACUAGUCAACUUACUCAUGACCUAAAUUGUGUUGUCAUGUUCUUUUCUGGUUAUUGCUUGUUUUAGGAUCGUGUGACGAAGAAGAUUAUUGGUAGAGGAUAUGAGUCAGGAGGCCUUUAUCUCUUUGAUCAUCAAGUAUCGCAAGCUGUGGCGUGUCCUGUCGUUCCCUCUCCUUUUGAAGUCCAUUGUCAUUUAGGUCAUCCAUCUUUGUUUGUGUUGAAGAAACUUUAUCCAGAAUUUAGGUCUUUGUCCUCUUUAAAUUGUGAUUUGUGUCAAUUUACGAAAUUUCAUCGUCUUAGUUCGAGUCCUCGAGUCGAUAAACGUGCAAUUGCUCCAUUUGAGUUAGUUCAUUAUGAUAUUUGGGGUCCAUGUCCAGUUGUAUCUCAAACAGGCUUUUGUUAUUUUGUUACUUUUGUUGACGACCAUUCUCGUCUAACUUGGUUAUAUUUAAUGAAAAAUCGUUCUGAGUUAUUAUCUCAUUUUUGUGCCUUUCAUACUGAAAUAAAAAACCAGUUUAAUGUCUCUAUCAAAACUUUGCGUACUGAUAAUGCGGGUGAAUAUUUUUCUCAUUCUCUUGGCUCUUACUUGUGUGAAAAUGGCAUUAUUCAUCAGUUUUCUUGUGCUGACACUCCAUCUCAAAAUGGUGUUGCAGAGCGAAAAAAUAGGCAUUUACUUGAAACUGCCUGUGCUUUAUCGUUUCAAAUGCAUGUUUCAAAAACCUUUUGUGUGGAUGCUGUCUCUACAGCUUGUUUUUUGAUUAAUAGAAUGCCUUCCUCUGUUCUUAAUGGUGAGAUUCCCUACCGUGUUCUUUUUCCUACCAAGCCUUUGUUUCCUAUUGCUCCUAAGAUAUUUGGUUGUGUCUGUUUUGUUUGUGACGUUCGUCCUCAUCAUACUAAGUUAGAUCCCAAAUCCUUGAAGUGUAUCUUCUUGGGUUAUUCACGUGUUCAAAAGGGUUAUCGUUGUUAUUGUCCUACCCUUAAAAGGUAUCUGGUUUCGCGUGAUGUUGUUUUUUUUUAGGAUACACCCUUUACUUCAUCACCAUCGAGUUCGUGUCAGGGGGAGGAUGACAAUCUUUUUAUAUAUGAGGUUACCUCUCCCACACCAUCCUUGUCUACUGAUGUGCCUCCUUCCCGCCCGUUGAUUUCUCAAGUCUACUCCCGACGACCUCCACCACAACCUUCAGACUCAUGUCCUCCAUCAAUGCUUCCUUCAUCAUGUGAUCCAGAGCCAAGUGAUGAUCUUCCCAUUGCUCUUCACAAAGGUAAACGCAAGUGUACUUACCCCGUUUCUUCCUUUAUUUCCUAUCACCAGUUAUCUCCCUCCACAUAUGUGUUUAUUACGUCUCUUGAGUCCAGAUCUAUUCCUAACUCUGUUCAUGAAGCUUUGUCUCAUCAUGGCUGGCAAAAUGCAAUGAUUGAGGAGAUGACUGCUUUAGAUGAUAAUGGUACUUGGGAUUCGUCUUGCAGGAAAGAAGGCCAUUGGUUGUAAAUGGGUGUUUGUUGUCAAGAUGAAUCCUGAUGGAACAGUGGCUCGAUUAAAGGCUCGCCUUGUUGCCAAAGGUUAUGCUCAAAUCUAUGGAACUGAUUAUUCAGAUACAUUAUUUCCGAUUGCCAAGUUAACUUCCAUUCACCUAUUUCUUUCCAUGGUUGCUACCAAUAAAUGGUCGUUGCAUCAACUUGACAUUAAGAAUGUUUUUCUUCACGGUGAUCUUCAAGAGGAAGUUUAUAUGGAACAACCACCAGGGUUUGUUGCUCAGGGGGAGAGUGAUAAAGUAUGUCGCCUUCGAAAAUCUCUGUAUGGUUUGAAACAGAGUCCUCGUGCGUGGUUUGGUAAGUUUAGUCAAGCCCUUGUAUGCUUUGGUAUGAAGAAGAGUACAUCUGAUCAUUUAGUUUUCUAUCGUCGAUCUGAUAAGGGUAUGAUUCUACUAGUUGUAUAUGUUGAUGAUAUUGUUAUUACUGGAAAUGAUGCAUUGGGUAUUUCGUCUCUCAAAACUUUCCUUCAGGGUCAGUUUUAUACAAAAGAUUUGAGCCAAUUGAAAUAUUUUUUGGGCAUUGAAGUGAUGAGAAGCAAGAAAGGUAUUUAUUUGUCUCAAUGAAAAUAUGUACUUGAUUUGUUUAAAACAGGAAAAUUAGGCGCCAAACCAAGUGGCACUCCAAUGAUGCCAAAUCAGCAACUUGUUAAAGAAGGAGAAUUAUGUAAAGAUCCUAAGAGAUAUAGGAGAUUAGUUGGGAAGUUGAACUACUUAAUAGUGACUCGACCAAACAUUGCAUAUUCUGUAAGUGUUGUAAGUCAAUUCAUGUCUUCCCCUACAGUGGAUCAUUGGGCUGCAAUAGAGCAGAUUUUAUGUUAUCUAAAAGCUGCUCCUGGACGUGGGAUCCUAUACAAAGAUCAUGGACAUACGAGAGUUGAAUGUUUUUCUGAUGCUGAUUGGGCAGGGUCUCGUAAGGAUAGGAGAUCAACUUCUUGAUAUUGUGUUUUUGUAGGUGGAAACUUAGUUUCAUGGAAGAGUAAGAAACAAAAUGUUGUUUCUCGUUCGAGUGUUGAGUCAGAAUAUAGAGCUAUGGCACAAUCUGUGUGUGAAAUAGUAUGGAUUCACCAACUAUUAUCUGAGAUAGACUUCAGUAUUACCGUGCCAGCUAAAUUAUGGUGUGAUAAUCAAGCUGCACUUCAUAUUGCAUCUAAUCCAGUAUUUCAUGAACGAACUAAACAUAUUGAGGUGGAUUGUCACUUCAUUCGUGAGAAAAUCCAAGAUGGGUUGGUGUCCACAGGAUAUGUGAAGACCGGAGAACAAUCGGGAGAUAUUCUAACUAAAGCUUUAAAUGGAACAAGGAUAAGCUAUCUGUGCAACAAGCUGGGCAUGAUCGACAUAUUUGCUCCAGCUUGAGGGGGAGUGUUAUGAUAUAUAUAUACAUAUGUCCUUUAUUGUAAUUUUACAUAGUCUCUAGGGUUUAGUUUAUUCUCUAUAUAAAUAUGUAACAUUGCUUUGACUCAAACAUAAUAAGACAGAUACUUCUCUCAAUUCCAGAUUACAUUCAUAUCCUUAUUAGGUACAAAUAUGUAAGGAAGGAAUCAAGAAACUUACACUUCCUAGUAAAUAUAUUUGAUAAAGAACUCGAGAAAAGACUACUCUCAUACUGAGAAUUCAUCGUAUUGACUUCAUUACUUCGAGAAAAAUAAUUGGAUGUUUUUUCAGCUCCAACAUGUCUAUUCAGGAUAAGACUUGCAUUCUAGUCUCUCACAAGAAAUGAAACAUGAUUUUCCAAGGAGUUCUCUGGCAGGCACUCACAUAUUGAAAUUUUUUCCACAGAUGAUGAAGAACGUGAUAUGUUACUGGUUGUUCAUAAACAUUGAAGAAACACAUCUUUCAGUUACAUGAAAGUCCUCACCACACUACAACAGAAUAGAUAGGGUGAAUGAGAUAGUUUUGGAAAUAUAAAUUCGACCUCCAAUCCAAUCCUUUAAUUUGCUUUAAAAAAAAACCCUUUUGUUAGAAAUUCCCAUAAAAAUGCACAGAGGAAGUCCAUAAAAUAUAUAAAGCAAAGUAAAACCAACUAUAUAGGUUUGGGAAAAUUGAAACAGGCUAAACUAUGCAAAAUUGAUGACUUUCUUUAUAUUUUUAUUCUUUGGGUAUGUGUGUGUGGUGGCAACCCAGAGGGAAUAGAGUACUAUACACUUUAAGUCAGGUAAUGUUGUUUCAGCAAGAACCAAUGUGGGUAGGCAUAAUCAUCAAAGAAAUGAACAAACUAAAAGUCUUUAAAUAGUAGUGGGUCAAACCACAAUGACCAUCUAUCUAGGAGGUCAAUAAAUCCUCCAAGAUUCCUCACGCCAAACAUAAUAGGGUAAGAAUUGUUAUUUUGUGAGAUUAGUGAUGUUGCAAAAGUUGAGCCAAACAGUCAUGACUAUGAAACAAACAAAGCGUCAUUACGAAAUAAAAAACAACAUAAAAAAAAAUAAUUCUUAUAAAAAAAUAUACAAGUUAUUUGAAAUCUCUUGGAAUUCAUGAAUUGUACAUCAUAAAAAAAUGAUAAAUUUUGUUACUACUAUGAAGUGGGAUAAUCACAGAUUAGUGUCUUUCAAACAUUGCACUUUUCAUGCAUUACAUGUCAUGUUAAUGCUCCUAAUUAUGAGAAUUACCUUCCACUAUAAUUAGAUUCAAAAUCAUUUUAAUUUCCAAAUGCCUCUUUAGAACCCCUAGACAUUCUACAUUUCUCAUGAUAUAGUACAGGAAAUAUGUGGUGGUCAAUCAAUUAAUGACAAACUAUAUCCUGUCACUUGAAAGAUCAAGUAUACAAAGAUAAAAACACAAGAAACCAAAAGUAAUCAAAACAGAAAAAGAAGAUAAAUGCACUAACCGUGGUGAUUUGGCACACUAGCUGACUUCCAAACUCCAACCUGCACAGGGAAUGCAGGGAAGAAAAAAAAAAGAGAAAUAUGAAGUAAAUAGAAAUUAUGUGUGGAGACACUGAAGAAAGAUGCAGUACUAUGAACUGCAAGAACAAGCAAUCUCUUAAGCUAGAAAAAGAAGAAACAUGAAAAACCAAGGAUGUAAUUGUUGAUUUUAUGGAAUAAAUCUAUAUUUCAUUUAUUAUUUAGUAGAGAUACAAGCCUAUAUAUAACCAUAGAGAAAUACACUUAAGGAAAUAAUAUCAAAUAAUAUCUCCAGAAUAAUAUCACCUAAGAAUAAUCUAAUUAUAUUAAUAGUUAUUAUCUAUACCUCAUUUGUAUGACGUAAAUCGUCGGAGAAGAAGGAAGAUGAAGACAAACCCUUCAAGUCCAAAACUUUAGACGACAUGAUGGAACCGAAAAAGAACAAAUCCCAAAAUAAAGAAAGAAAACUCAAAGAAGCUCCGUAAAAAAGGACGCCAAAAAUUGUAACCCCACUCCUUCAGAAGGCAAUUCAAAAACUUCCCUCCAGCCUACAAAACUCUGCAGGUUGAGCAAAACAUUUCAUGAGUAGAAAAAGAAAUAAAAGAAAUUAAAUUACAAAAUGAAGAACCAUUGAUUAAACUAACUUAAACACCACAAUUCAUAUGUACCACAUAGUCAAACAAGAAAGUAAUGCAACAAAUUAAACAAAACAAAUCAUAAACAUUAAUUAAGAGAUCGCCUCUCAAAAAUUAAGUUUCAAAAACACAAAAAAACAACUGAAAUAGAAGGAAAUAAAAAGGUUCUCUCCAACACUAUUUGUUAUAACAAAAUCCAGACAAGAAAUGGUUUCCUAAUUACUAUUUCCUUUCUUCUAUGGAGCUGCAUAACACUUGGCUAAAACCAUGAAUGCUACUAAUACUUUGGUUGAAAAUGUUGGUUAAAUGGUCAAUGGAAUCCCAUAUAAUAAAUACCCACAUAGAGUGAGUGAGAUCGAAUAAAAUUUCACAUUUACAUAAGAACUAGCAGUUGUAGGGUAUGGAGAAGAAAGUUUCCUAAUCAUUAAAAAGUUGGAAGAUUCUAAAAGUAGGGCUUAUAUUUGAUAAAAAACAAUACAUAAACUUUAAGAACAACCAAAUCAGACAAAUAAGUAAAAGAGAUAAAUAACAAAACCCAUGAAGAGCAAGGAAAAAGGUACCUGCAACGACAAGGAAAUGUCAUUUUUUUGAUAAAUUAAAAUAAUAAAUCUUGAAUGUUCAUGUGAUAAAUUUUGGUUGUAUACAAUUACACAAGUUGUAUAAAUAUAUAAAUAUAUAAUUUAUUUAUGUAAAUAUGGUUGAAAGAAUGAAAAGAAAAUGUGGAAAAGAUGAUAGCAUAUAAGGAAAUGUCAUUUUUUUGGGGGAAGGAAUUAAAAACUGCCCAUGAGAAUCAAUACCCUGCUGCCUUAAUGCCUUUGAUUCUCAAUCACAAUAUUCCUCUAUAUUUCACUUUUAAAUUUCACUUAUUAACAAAAAUAGUUCCUAUAAUAAAAACUUAUAAAUUACCAAUUCCAAAAUUCAUGGCACAACUUCUAUUUUUAUUAUUUUGAAAGAAAAAAAGAAAGAAGCUUAACCUAAUCAAUGGAGAUGGUCAAAAACUACUGAAGAGUAAUGGCAGAAUCCUCUGUGAGUGUUGAGGAAAUUAGCUAAGUAUCCCUAACCAUGAAGGGAGUUUGAGAAAGCUUACCACUUCUAAUAAAUUGGCUCCUUCACUGAGUCCCUCGAGCUCUCUUGGAUCUUGGUGAACAGGUACCACCCUAAAUAGUCAGAAACAUGGAACUAUUUCUCAUCUCUAUUAUCGUAAUUAUUUGUGAACUCUCAAUGUUCAAGAGGCUGAGUAGCUUUAUAUGAAAUAGGUGCAAGAGCGGUUUGAAGUUCUUAAAAAGAGAGAAACAUCAGGAAGCUUCACAGAGCAAGGUAAAGCUUAAGAAUUCAGAGUUAGUUAAGAUCAAAACCAUAAUCAUAGAACAAUCAACAACAAACAAAUCUCAUAUCUCAUCAAAUUUUUCAAAAAGAUAAAUAAAAGAAAACAAGUAAGAAUUAGACAAGCAAACAUACAAUGUCUAUUUUUCCAUUUGAAUUUUUCCUACAUCUGUUAAGUUCCAAAUAUGUUUUUGAGUCAUUGGAAAUUACUUUUUAUAUUACAAAAUCACUUUUAAAAGUAGACACAAACAAAUGUUAAUAUGGCUAAUGGAACAAUAACCUACAAAUUUGUAGGUACUCUACCCUACAAAUUAAAUUCACAAUUCUUGCAACAAUGCUUUUGACUUCAUUUAUAUCAAGAUAUUGAUGUCACACCAGUGAUACUAAUAACAAGAAACAAAACCAAGAAUCAAUAGUUUCAUCAUUUUUUCUUUUCUCUUGGGCAUUGUCGGUUUCAUUCUAAAGUGAUUUUUCUUAGCCAAAACAACAAUGAAAUCAAAUCACAGUUACUAUGAAUAUGUUAGUGUAAAGUACGAAGCAUUCUUCUUCAUUUUUGGUUGAUCCAUUCUCCAUUGUACUCAAUGGAAAAUUAAAUAAAAUUAUGGAACUGUUUCUUCAUCCAUUUCCAAUAAACCCAGUAAAGAAAUCACUCAGAACAACAAAAAAAUGAUAAUAAAUAUAUAGCAACUUUGAACAAGAAAACAUGUUUUUGAAUUGAAUCUUUCCCUUAGCCAAUAUCAAAGUUUUAAUACAGUGGAAGAACACUUUUAACAAAACAUUUAUUAAUAAAAAUCAACUUUGUUAACUAGUUUCUAAAAACACUCUCAAAUAUGCCUUCCAUAACCUGGUUUAAGUUUUGAAGAAAAAUGACUAAUGGGCUGGGAUACUCAUGCCAUGGAAUGGCAAAAAAGAGGCUGAGCUUUGUAUUUGAAGUAUCAUGUUGGUGAAGACAUGUAAAAGGUCUUAUGAACAUUUCAAUUUAACUCUUUUGUCUCUUGAGUACUAUAGCUUUAGACUAAUGAUUAUUUUCCAGUUUGUCUCUACACAAAAGACCAGUUUGUCCAUUUCUACUUUAAUUGUCAGCCUUCCAAGCUUGUCAAAUACAUCAGUUUUUAAGAUUUAUGUGCACCCCAUGUCAUUAAUCCCUUCCUAAGCUGAUUUUCCUUCGUAAAUAUAUAUUACACUUAACACUUAAACACACAUAUUUCAAAGAUUGAUUCCAAAACGAAAAUGAGAAAUGAAUGAAACUCAAAUUAAAAUAGAGAAAUAGAGAGUGGAGGUGAAAAUAACCAGAAAAUUUUUACAAUAAUGCUAUGGAGGAAAAGAAGAUAAGUGACUGAAGGAAAUGAGGACUCAGGGAAAAGACUCCUAUUGGAAGAAGGAAACUAAGUUACCAUUUUGAAAUUUCAAGAAAGAAACUGAUGGAUCUGAAAUGGGUGUAUGUAUCUCUUAUUAGCAACCCAAACUACUGUUUGAACAGAGAUUUUAUUAUACCAAAUGCUUAUGUAAUACUUGGAUGAAGAAGAUGAAGAUUUCAUGAGUAGAAAAAAAAAAAAGAGAAAUAUGAAGGAAACAAAAAUGAUGUGGGGGGACACUGAAGAAACAGAUCCAAAAACAUGCAGUACUAUGAACUGCAAGAACAAUCAAUCUCUUAAAGCUAGAAAAAGAAGAAACAUGAAAAACCAAGGAUGUAAUUAUUUAUACCUCAUCUGUAUGACGUAAAUCGUCGGAGAAGAAGGAAGAUGAAGACAAACCCUUCAAGUCCAAAACUUUAGACAGCAUGAUGGAACUGAAAAAGAACAAAUCCCAAAAUAAAAGAAAGAAAACUCAAAGAAGCUCCAUAAAAAAAAGGACGCCAAAAAUUGCAACCCCACUCCUUCAGAAGGCAAUUCAAAAAAUUCCCUGGAGCCUAUAAAAAUCUACAGGUCGAACAAAACAUUUCAUGAGUAGAGAAAAAAUAAAAGAAAUCAAAUUACAAAACGAAGAAUCAUUUAUUAAACUAACUUAAACACCACAAUUCAUAUUUUUUUAGGGUUACCCAUUGUGCACCCACCAAAUCAUUCUUAAGAGAUUUAAGUUUAACAGUAAAGACCAGAGAUGGAUCAAACUAUUACACCAUUGUUAAAAAGAAGAAAAGAAGGCCCAUAGAAAGGGAAGCUAUUAAGGAAGAUAUUUCAUUGUUGGCAAAGAGCAUUGAAAGGCUGGGUGUGCAGGCUGGACAACAACAGCAGCAGCAGCAACGAACUUUCAUGAAAAUAUACUUAAAGAAUGAUUAAGGGAAAAACAACAUGGGAAGAAGUUCCAGAAAGGUUCGUCCAACAAGAAAGAAACUAUGAUUGAUGUCAGUGAUUCAUUUGUGAUGGGAGGAAAAUCGGAAGAAAAAUACACCAAGUUGUAUUUUUCUAAUAAUCCACUAUUUUUCUAUCUAGGGUCCUUACACAUUUCUUCAUUGGUGAUCCUCAAGAAGGGGUGUGUAUGGAGCAACCACUAGGGUUUUGUUGCUCAGGGGAAGAAUGGAAAGGCGUGUCGCCUUUGUAAAUCUUUAGAUGGACUAAAACGUAGUCCACGGGCUUGGUUUGGGCAAAUUUAUUAAGGUGAUCGAAAGUUUUAGAAUGCAAAAGAGCCCGUUAGAUCAUUCAAACUUUUUUAAAAGAUCCGAGAGUGGGGUGAUCCUAAUAGUAGUAUAUGUUGAUGCAACUGUGGUUAUUGGUGAUGAUUCUUUAGAUAUCCAGUCCCUGAAGACUUUUCUCUAUUGCCAAUUCCAAAUAAAAGAUUUGAGCAUGUUGAAAUACCUCCUAGGAAUUUGAGGUAUAAAACACAGGCAAGAAAGCAAUAAUACUUAUAUCACAGAGAAAAAAUAUGGACUUGUUGACUAAAACAUGGAAGGUAUGGGCUAAGCCAUGUAGUACCCCAACGAUGCCUAACUUAUAGCUCACAAAAGAUGGAGAAUUGUUGAAAGAUCUUGAAAGAUAUAGGAGGUUAGAGGGAAAACUUAAUUACCUUCCAGUGGACUCGACUCGACAUAGCCUAUUUAGUAAGUAUUAUGAGCCAGUAUAUGUAAUGCCCUAAAGUUGAUCAUUCAAGCUGCUUUGGAAUGAUUCAGUGUUAUUUUGAAGGCUGCUCUCAGGCAUGGUUUUAUUAUAUAAGGAUUAUAGUCAUACUAAUAUUGAAUAUUUCUCAGAUGUUAAUUGGUAAAAUCUAAAGAAGACAAAAGAUCAACUUCAGGAUAUUUUGUUUUUGUUGGUGGCAAUUUGAUGUCUUGGAAAAGUAAAGAAACAAAAUGUGGUGUCACAUUCAAGUGCAUAAUAAAAAAUAUAGCGCAAUUGCACAGUUUUUGUAUGAAUUGGAUAUAUCAAAUUGAUUUGGAUAUAUCAACUUUUUGACUAUUGUUGAGUUGGGAUUUGAAAUCACCACACUAGCAAAAUUGUGGUGUGAUAAUUAAGCAACACUUGAUAUCGCAUUUAAUCCGGUGUUCCAUGAAGUUAAUGACAAUUCUAUCACUGGUUCUUUUUAUUCUAUACCAAGUUCAAUAGCUUUUACCUCAAGUUCCUCUAUACGAUCAUCCUCUUCCACUACUUCCAAUUCCUCCUCAUUUGCUUGAACAACUUAACACUCUGAGUUCCUUCUGAUCCUUCACCUUACAUCUAUGGCCUGCACAAAAUUUUUCCUCACAACAAAAGCAGAUCCCUUUUCUCACAUCUGGCUUUUGAAACUCAACAUCACAAAAAGUCGUCUUGGUGGUCCUUCCCGUCAAUUAAUUUUCUGCAGCCCCUCGAAGUGUGAUAGCCCUUACUGGAACAGUACCUUCUGACUUAUUGUCAUUUGGAAACUACAUGAAAUUGAGUAUUUAAAGAAGUAGAAACCUGGGUUUUAUCAUCCCCUACACAUUUUAAGUCAGAUUCACCCUUAUCACCUCUCGGUUCUCAAUUUUCUGGGCCAAUUUCAUCAUUUUGAGCAAAGCCCAACAGGUUCCCAACAUUCCAAUUUUGUCUUAAUCCAAGGUUUCAAACCAUUCAUAAAUGUCUCUUCUAUAACUGUCUUAUGCAGAAAAGGCAAAGGUGCCACCAAUUUAUCAAAAAAAAUUAUGUAUUCAUCCACUGUAGUGUCUUGUUUUAUCGUUAAAAAUCUGCCCAAUAUUGAUCCCUCACGGUCUGAUCGAAAUCGAAUAAUAAGUCUUCUCUUUAAAUCUUCCCAAUUAACAAACGGUUCACGGUCUUCAUGAGAUCUAUACCAAUCCAAGGCUGCACCAUCAAAACCUAAUGAUUGUCACCGUCAUCUUCUCUGACUCAGUAAGUUUGUGUAUCUGAAAAUAACGUUCUACUCUAAAUAACCAAGAAUCCGGGCAAUACCCGCGAAAACUGGCAUGUCAAUUUUCUUGAAUUUGCUUCGAUCCCCUGCAGAUUCUUCUCCUUCCAACUUGGUGUAUUUUUCUUCCGAUUUUCCUCCCAUCACAAAUGAAUCACUGACAUCAAUCAUAGUUUCUUUCUUGUUGGACGAACCUUCUGGAACUUCUUCCCAUGUUGUCUUUCCCUUAAUCAUUCUUUAAGUAUAUUUUCAUGAAAGUGGUUUAAAAAAAGAUGACGAUUCUUUCAGUUUUCAAACCCACUGACUUCAUGAAAUUAAUAAAUAGAAGUGUGAAAGUAACAUAGACAUGAAAUAUAUAAGCUAGAGCAAAGGCAUGACUACUAUACCUGACUACCAUUACAUAGCGCUAAAAGAAAAUGUAAUUUUCUUUUUCAUUUAAUAUGUACUUUGACGUAAUAGUAAUAGUAAUUCCUCUUUCAAACAACCACUUUUUUUUCAACAAAGAGGACAAGGCUUAUGAUCCCUAAAUCGUUAGCAAUUAAGAUGCAGCAAAUAAGGUAGUUAAGAUGCAAAAAAUAAGAAAACACCCCAAAUCACUACAGUGCAUAACAAAUCUAUCACAUAAGCACAAAGAUAAAUACUGAGAGUAUUAGUUGAAACUUAGCAAACACAAACAGGGCAAACUAUUAUUUAACGUGCUAGUUUAAAUAUAUAUCUAAACUAAACUACACAAGUAUUUCAAACAGGCAAAACUAAAAUUAGAUUUAUAGAAACAACGUGUCCUCAUCCUUUCUCCCAAGGAAUGCUAUUCAUUAUGAUUUUAUCUUUUGAGUUUUAAAAUAAGCUAUUUAUUAUUCAUAUCUUUUCUUGUGCUAUCUAGAAGCUAACCAAACAACAUAGAGAAAGUACAUUUGUAUCACUAAUCAAUAUUUGAAAUGAUGAAGCAGAUUAAAUAAUACAAAAUUCAGGAAGUAGAACUUGCCGACUUCAGCUGCUCCCUGAGUUCCUUGAACUUAAGGUUUCUCAUGUUCUCAACAAUGAAAACAAAAAUUGAGUUGUAAUUUUCCACACCCUGCCUGAUCGAUUCCACCAUUGAUUUCUUGUGGUCCCUUCCUUUUCUUCUUUGUUUUUGAUAAAGUAAUUGCAUUUAUCCCACAGACAAUUAGAUAGAAGACUUAAAACACUAAUCUGCAUAGGACUAAGUUCAUAUUUUCCCUCUUUCUUUUUAUGUUAAAAACCACAUGAGUUUGACACUGAUUACUACCACCACAAGUCAUUUAACUUCUUCAACUGCCUCAUACUUUUCACAAGAAACUGCGUCAUACAAAUUAACCCAUAAUAAAGCUAUCCAAAUUUCGAACCCCAUCUGAUUGGUUUAUGAAAUCAGUAACUCUCAUGGAAGGAAAAACUUGGACAGACUGAUGCAGAAAUUGAGAAAUGAAAGUUUGAAAAAGAUUCUUACAUCUUUGUCUAUUAGAAAAAAAAAUUGAUUUCUUGUACUAGAAUCAUUGUUCCCUGCCAUUCUCGAAACAACCUGAAUAGUCAUGUUAAGAACACCGAGCCCUGCACUAAAGUUUAAAGAGGGGAAAAAACAGCAUGUUGAAACAAAUGAAGGUUAAAUCAAAAGGAUUGAACUAUAGUUUCCAAAGUUUUCAUUUAUCUUAUAUUCACGUAAUAGUAAUAGUAAUUCCUCUUUCAAACAACCACUUUUGUUUCAACAAAGAGGACAAGGCUUAUAAUCCCUAAAUCGUUAGCAGUAUUGCUAUUUGGAGAAAAUGUUUAAGUUAAACAGCUGACAAUACCUUCCAGCCCCUACCACUACUAUCUUUUCGUUAACAAAAUCACUCAAUGGCAGCCCUUGAGCUCUUACAGUUCCCAAUAGUCCAACGAGAGCAACAGCAGCAGUUCCCUUUAUGAAAUCAAAUAAACGAAAAUGAAUGUCCUUUUAAGUAAUUAUCAACUGCAUGAAUACAUCAUCAACUGCAUGAAUACAUCAUCAACUACUCACUUGUAUGUCAUCGUUGAACAUGCAGAACCUCUUACGAUAACAUUGUAAUGUUUCAAAAGCCCAUUUCAUUUGAAAAUCCUCAAACUGGCAUCAUUCAAAAUCAAAUUACGAGAUUACAAUACUGAUUACUCGCAGUGAACACAGUUAAAAUUUGAUAUCUUAACCAAUAAACCUGAACAAUAGCUUUAGGCCAACAUGUAUGCACGACUUCCAUAAAAUCAUCAACAAUUGAUAGAUACUCUUCUCCCUCCAAUCUAGGUAUUCCUAUUCCCUGAACUCGAAGGUCACCGAGGCCAAGAAUACGACGUCCAUCUGUCAAGACAAUCAUGUCAACCUGUAGUUGGAAGAAGAAAAUACAAUGAACUUCAAAUAUGGUGUUGCUGGAAAUUAAAAGGGAUUUUCAUUUUUAUUUUGCUCAAAAUCAAUGCUCUUGAGCUUUUAAUGUCCCGAGGAAGGUGAAAGUUUCCCAAUAUAUCGUGUAUGGAAGUUUAAACUUUUCAAAGAAAACAAGGGUGAUCAACAUACAAAAGCCUCAUGUGGAUAGAAAAUUAAUCAAACAAAAAUUCGAUUGUUCUGUAGCAGUUUGACUUUGUUGUCAAGGAAAUUAAGAGUGAUAAGAUGGCGAGGGAGUGACUUUGAGUGGUGGCAAUUCGACAGCCAAGCAACUACACUCAAAGUUGCAGGUCGAAUAGGCAGCAGGAAGAAACGAACGAAGAAGAAGAAGAAGAAAAGUUUUCGAUCUAUCAAACGUGAUCAUCAUACAAUAGAAAGUCAUUUAAAUUAUCCAAAUAUAUUUUGAAGUAAUUUUAACAUUUUCAAAAUAACUCUUAAUCAUGCUCUAAAUAUGGAAUGAAUUAUCUAUCCAACUACAAAUACAAUAGUUUUUCUAAAAUCACUCUAACUAAUUAUACAAAUUCCACAACACAUAGAUCUCAUGCUUCCCAAGAACCCACAAAAUUGUUCAAUGCGGCAUUUCAUCAAACAGUUGGUGGAUGGAGACAACAAAAACAAGUGUUUAACAAAAUUAUCUUAGAAACAAACACAUUAAUAUUACCUGAAGAUGGAACUCCAAUUGAACAGCCUUGAACAAGUGAUGGAGAAACCAACAGAACAUAAAGAUUGUGGGACUCCUCAACUCCAAUAAAUCCUGCAAUGGAAAAAUGGGUUAGAAGGUGGAAAAGCAUAGUAGAGGAUUAUGAUAAUGAAAAUGGGUAGUGAUGUUUUUCAGUAGCUAUCUUUUUCUUCUUUUUUUAUUCAUGUUGUUGAUGGUUGUUCUUGACUGUCUUUAUCUUUUUUUUUUCUUUUUCCUUUUUUACAUUUGGGAAAAAACAGUUUGUUGACUAAGAGGUGAUGAUGCUGGUGAGGGAAUUUAUUAAAGUAAUGAAUACUUUUUGGAGGACUUAAACAAGUAAAAGGACGAAAUGAAGCAAGCUCAAGCAACAAAUUUUCUGUUAAGUAAGCAUAAAUAUUAACUAGAGGCUUAAAUAAAAUAUUUCACCACCACCACCACAACAACAAAAAGCCCAGAUAUAUCGCCAUUGACAACAGAAACAGAGCAAUAUAAGCACAAUAUAUUACAAGGAAAAUAUGGAGAUAAAAGACAUGAAGGUUUCCCUUUCACUUACAAAGAGGAUCAUUAAGUAACUUCUCGUUGUUAGAACCAAUAUCUAGCAUUACUUGAAAAAUCUGUCAAUUAAACAAGAGUAAACUUAAUGAAAUUCAGAAAGUGGGGUUAAGAAAAGUUGCUAAAAAAAUGUCACCAUUAAAUGAUAUUAAUAUUCUUAGAUAGUCUACAAAUUUCAUGAAGAAAAGACAACAGACUUGAGAGUUACCCCCACUAUCAGGAAUACUUGCUUGAACGGGAAAAAGAUAUCGGCAAAUUCUAAACACGGCACAAUAAACUCUCACUCUCCUGGUUCUUGCUUAAAAUCACAUGUACAUGUCAUUGCCGAUAGUGCCUCUUUCACUGAAACAAACAAAAUUUCACUGAAACAAACAAAAUUUCAGUACCAAUUAAGAUGCAGAAAAUAAGGUAUUUAAGAUGCAGAAAAUAAGGUAGUUAAGAUGCAGAAAAUAAGGAAACACCCCACAUCACUACAGUGCAUAACAAAUCUAUCACAUAAGCACAAAGACAAACACAAAAAGGACAUAAGCUUAUUCUCAAAUUUCAGUACAUAUACUCAUCAAAAUUCAGAAUCUCACGUCACAAACCCGAGCUUAGUGCUCAAGGGUUGACAGUCAUGCCUUUUAUGCAAGAUCUAAGAAGCUAUGAUGCUCAUUAUUGUAAUGAAAAACUUUUGAAAAUUUUUGAAAUUUGAGCAAAAUUUGAAAUCCCCCAAGUUUAGACUAAACAAGCGAGCUAUUAUCCACCCUUCGCUUAAAAAAUUGCUUGGAAGUUGCCCAACAUGAGAAGAGAAAACUAUCUGAAUGUAGGCAAUCCUAUAAACAAUUAAAACAAUAGCCACAACUGAUUGAAAUCAAGUUGGAUAAACAACCAUUUGAUGAAGGGAGGGCGUUGAGCUUGUCUAAGAAAAAUAUACUCUUUAAGGGUUUAUGCCAGCAGCAGCAACAUACAUAUCCAGCUUUCCUAUAGGUAUUCCUAUUCCCUAAACUCCAAGGUCACCAAGGCCAAGAAUACGACUUCCAUCUGUCAAGACAAUCAUGUCAACCUGUAGUUUGAAGAAGAAAAUACAAUGAAGUUCAAAAAUAUAUAUAUAUCUACAAAGCAUAACAAUUAUCCCAUAGCUGAAAGAAAUAAUAUUUGUUAUGCUAUGUAUAUAAUUCACAAAUUAAUAGACCAUCAUCUCAAUGUACAAAUUGUGUGAAGCUAAGGUCUCUGAAACAACUUAAAGAGGAUUGAAGAAGAGUACCAGAAGUUUUUCAUUAGCCAUCAACCCAGGAAAUAAAUGAAGCAUCAAGCAUGUCUAAUAAACUGAACUGGGUCCUCAAUAUGUAACACAAAUUACACAAAAAUCUAGGGAGCGAGGAUAUGAUUUAGAUCCUUAAAAUACUUAGAGGUUUGAGAGAGAAUCAAAAUAACUUAUUGCAUUCACUAAAGAAAUAUAUAUACAAGAUGUUCUUUGUAAACUUAAUCCUCAGUUUAUCCAAGACCCAAUGGUUAAUUGAUUCAAUAGAUGUUCUUCUAAAAGAACCAAACUGGAAGUUUUUCAACAAAUAUGUGAGUGAUGAAACCGGAACAACAUAGCUAUCCAAAAGUGAAGUUUCCCAUCAUUUUUUUAUGGGCUUUUUCUGAUGUAUAAUGCAUAUGUUUGUUUUAUUUUAGCUCUUAAUUGUCUCGCUGUUUUAAGUUUUACAUUUGCAAGUCUCUCUUUUCUUUCUUUGGUACGGACACAAUAACCGGUGGGGUAACCUUUCUAUGGUUCUAGACUUAGUUUCUAAGUUUGACUGCUCCCUUCAGAGUGACAACAAGCCUCAUUUUCCUCCUACUAUGGAACGGGGAGGAUUCCCCCUCUUUUCAAAGCCCUCGUCAAACUCAAUGCUAAGUUUGAUUGCUCCCUUCGGAGUGACAACAAGCCUCGUUUUCCCCUAGUGUGGGACGGGGAUGAUUCCUCCUCUUUUCAAAGCCCUCAUCAAACUCGAUGCUAUGACUAGAACACUAAGAGUAGGUGGUCUGGUUUUGCUUAGGCCAUAAGUGAAGUUUCCCCUCAUUUUUUUAUGGGAUUUUUCUGAUGUAUAAUGCAUAUGUUGUUUGUUUGUUUUUUAGCUCUUAAUUGUCUCGCUGUUCUACGUUUUACAUUUGCGACCAUCUUUUUUGUUUCUUUGGUAUGCACACAAGAACCGGUGGGGUAACCUUUCUAUGGUUCUAGACUUAGUUUCUAAGUUUGACUGCUCCCUUCGGAGUGACAACAAGCCUCGUUUUCCCCUACUAUGGAACGGGGAGGAUUCCUCCUCCUUUCAAAGCCCUCGUCAAACUCAAUGCUAAGUUUGACUACUCCCUUCAGAGUGACAACAAGCCUCGUUUUCCCCCUAGUGUGGAACGGGGAGGAUUCCUACUCUUUUCAAAGCCCUCAUCAAACUCGAUGCUAUGUCUAGAACGCUAAGAGUAGGUGGUCUGGUUUUGCUUAGGCCACAAGUGAAGUUUCCCCUCAUUUUUUUAUGGGAUUUUUCUGAUGUAUAAUGCAUAUGUUGUUUGUUUGUUUUUUAGCUCUUAAUUGUCUCGAUGUUCUACGUUUUACAUUUGCAACUAUCUCUUUUGUUUCUUUGGUACGCACACAAGAACCGGUGGGGUAACCUUUCUAUGGUUCUAGACUUAGUUUCUAAGUUUGACUGCUCCCUUCGGAGUGACAACAAGCCUCGUUUUCCCCCUACUAUGGAACGGGGAGGAUUCCUCCUCUUUUCAAAGCCCUCGUCAAACUCAAUGCUAAGUUUGACUGCCCCCUUCGGAGUGACAACAAGCCUCGUUUUCCCCCUAGUGUGGAACGGGGAGGAUUCCUCCUCUUUUCAAAGCCCUUAUCAAACUCGAUGCUAUGUCUAGAACGCUAAGAGUAGGUGGUCUGGUUUUGCUUAGGCCACAAGUGAUGUUUUCCCUGAUUUUUUUAUGGGAUUUUUCUUAUGUAUAAUGCAUAUGUUGUUUGUUUUUUUUGGCUCUUAAUUGUCUCGCUAUUUUACGUUUUCUAUUUGCAACUAUCUCUUUUGUUUCUUUGUUACGCACACAAGAACCGGUGGGGUAACCUUUCUAUGGUUCUAGACUUAGUUUCUAAGUUUGACUGUUCCCUUCGGAGUGACAACAAGCCUCGUUUUCCCCUACUAUGGAACGGGGAGGAUUCCUCCUCUUUUCAAAGCCCUCGUCAAACUCAAUGCUAAGUUUGACUGCUCCCUUCGGAGUGACAAUAAGCCUCGUUUUCCCCCUAGUGUGGAACGGGGAGGAUUCCUCCUCUUUUUCAAAGCCCUCAUCAAACUCGAUGCUAUGUCUAGAACGCUAAGAGUAGGUGGCCUGGUUUUCGUUAGGCCAAAAGUGAAGUUUCCUCUCAUUUUUUUAUGGGCUUUUUCUUAUGUAUAUUGCAUAUGUUGUUUGUUUUUUUAGCUCUUAAUUGUUUCACUGUUUUAUGUUUGCAAGUCUCUCUAUUCUUUGUUUGGUAUGCAAUGUGGUAACUAGGUCUUGCUAGAACCGGUGGGCUAACCUUUCUAUGGUUCUACACUUAGUUUCUAAGUUUGACUGCUCCCUUCGAAGUGACAACAAGUUUUGUUAAUGUCCACCCUUUUCUAGAGGGAUUUAGUUCAUUGUGGCUAGACAAACGGCUCCUAACUCAUGUUAUUUGUUAAAACCAUCUCAAUUUCUAAAGAGUACCUCCUAUCCUUUUUUAACUCUAUCUAUGCUAGGUUUGGACCAAGUGCAUCAUAGGUAAGUCACAGCAACGCAACAAAGGAAGACAAAGCUAGAAAAGUAUCCAUGCAAUCAAGCAUUCACAACACACAUACCAUUUUCUCAAUCAUGCAUUCACAUCUGAACAAGAUAUCGCUAACAUCUCAAUAAGAUAUCGCUAAAAAGGGACGUAAACCAAAAAAGACGGCAGCUUAUGCUCAAAUUUCAGCACAUAUAAUCAUCAACAUUCAUAAUUUUACAUCACAAACCCAAGUUCAGUGGUCAAGGGUUGUUAGUCAUGCUUUUUAUGCAAGAUCUAAGUAAGCUAAUAAGGUAUAAUGCUCCUUAUUGUAAGGAAAUUUUUUUUAGAAAUUUAGAAAUUUGGGCAAAAUUUGAACCCCAAGUUUCGACUAAACAUGCAAGCUUUUGAAAAUCAAAGUAAAGAGAGAAAAAUAAGGGGGAACUUUGGACUCCCCUAGAAGGAUCGACGUCCUUGACUUUUGUUUGAAGCUUGCAUGGAUAAACCUCUUCAUUUCUUUUCCAUUGAUUAAUUAUCCUUGUUCCUGAAAAUCAAAGGAAAUUCUCUCAAUUUCAUUUAUUACUAAAAUUAGGAUAAUUAUAGUAACGGUAUUUUUAACUCUUUUGGUAGUUUACGUCUUGAGUGUGUUUUCAAUGGUAUUUUUAUAUAAAGUACAAAGUUUAGGGGUAUUCUGUAUAAUGGAACCUCUUUGACAAAAAAAAAAAAAAAUUUAAACCCAUGAAGUCUAACUAACCGAACACAAUUAGAUUUCUAGUAGCAGUAAUUUACCACAGAAACAGAAAUCAAAGGUUAGAAAAUAAUUUAAUGGCAUUUCUAUAAAUUUAUCACAUGAUCUUUCUUCUUCUUUUUUUUCUUUCCUUUUUUGAUAAAGCUCUAACCAUGUAGUUAAGCUUCUACCUGUAGCAGUUAAUUAAAAUAGAGACAUAAACUAUAGAUUAACAAACAAUUGGAAGGCCUCUCGAUCAAUUUAAUACACAAUAAGUUCAUACUUAUGUCUUUUUGGAAGUAUAAAAAAUGAAAAAUCGCUAUUUUCCCAAAACGAAACCUCUUCAUUCCUCUUUCGUCGAUUAUUCAUCCUUGUUCUUCAAACCUCAAGCCUUAAAAUUGAGGAAGUAGAGGAAAUUCUCUCAAUUUACUUCAAAGGAAGGAUCAUGUUCUCUCCUACAAAUGGUGUCUUUCUAAUUUUCAUAACUUUAUGACUUAAUAUGGCAGUGUUGUAUAAUGCAAAUCCAUAUAGAAGAAACACCAUUUACAGCACAGCCAAGGAAAAUGAAGAUUCAAUAUCUUUUUCAAAAAACGCUCUAUCUCAUUUGCACUUAUUUCUCUCUUCUUCUUCCACGCUCAAUGAAGAAAACCCUUAAUGAAGAAAAAAAUAAGAAAUCAACCCUAAACCCCUCAACCCAACAUCCUGGUGUGCUUUCUCAAUCUACAUCCUUCUCAAUGAAACAUACUGAUGUGCUUUCUUAAUCUACAUCCUUCUCAAAGAAAUGAAUUGAAAAAUCUCUAAAAGUUUCCUCAUCAAACAAUACCAUGCAACAAUGUUUAAAAAGGAUAGUAAAAAGGAAGAACAAUGACGUAAUGGUGUUUAAAGAGAAUGGUAAAAAGGAACAAAGAUGGUGAGAAGAAAUUUAUUUUCAACUUAACCAUGAAGAACAGUUCAACAAAAAAUAAAUAAUAAAAUAAAGGCACUUGGGAAAGCAACAAACCUGCUUCUGUAACUCAAGAAGCUGCCGCUCUUUCUCAUGAAUGUGUUCUUCAAGUUCAUGCAAAUGUUUUAUUUGCUAAGCUCUUUCAGCUUCAGAAUGAUCAUGUUCCUCCUACAAAUGAUAUGUUUCUAAUUUUCAUAACUCAAUGACUUAAUAUGGCAGUCUUGUAUAAUACAAAUCCGUAAUAGAAGAAACACCACUUACAGCAGAGCCAAGAAAAAUGAAGAUUGUGUGUAAUGUACUGCAAUAAAAUUAAAAUACUAAAGAAUGUGUUAGGAUGUUAGCGUAAGCAAAAAGUAAAAUCAAUGGCAAAAGAAGGGAAAAAUUGAAGGGCAUCAACAAAAAAUGUAAACCUUUAAGUUGCUAUUUCCUUAUCUUGUUCCUGCAGAAGAUCAUCCUUGGCCCAAGCCUAUGAAGAAAUUAUAGAAUAAAAGGGUUGGUGAAGAAAAAAACAGAUCAUUGCAAAACAUUCUUAUGCAAGCAAAUCAAGCAUGAGGGGGAAAAAAAAACACACCGCGUCGUUGUCUAAUUUAAUUGAUUGCAAUUCCCUAUCUUUAUCUUCUAUUUUCCUUUCCAGUUUGAGAAUAGCCUGGUGUCUUUCACAUAGCCUGUUCCUGUACAGCCACAAAAUGUCUCAUUGAAGUAUUAAAGUAGACCGCAUCUAAAUAGUGAUUUGCCUAAUUCUUCAAAAAUAAACAUUAAGUUUUGAGUUGUGGCAAUAUGAACUAGGAUCUCCUUUACAAUUGUGCUCUAAAGAUAUUGAAGACAAUUUAUAGAAUAAAUCAAUCUUAUUAAUGAUAAUAAUAGAAUUAGUAAUGACGAUAUUACAUAUCCUUUAAAAUUUUUUGUUAAGUGAAAAUUAUGAGGUUUCUUUCCGCUUUUGUGUGUUCUCAUGUUUAAUUGUACUUUAUCGUACCAAUUUAGAAUUUUAAAAUGUUUUUAAUUCACUAUUUGAGGCUUCAUCUUGCCUCUUCAAGUCAAAAUACCUCACAGCCUGCCUUUGUUGAGUUAUUUUCUAUUGAAUAAUAGAUUGUGUUUUCUUUUUUGGUCAAGAGACCAAAGUAGAUUAGUUUACAAUUAGAAACAAAAAGGUGGAUUUCGAUUUCCCAUAAUAAACAAUAAGAGUGGAUCACCAACAAGUCAUAAACCUACUAUCAUUUAUGUUCCACUUGAUCCAAACAUAACAAACAAAAAUGAAAGGUUUGGACUUACUUGAGAAUUAGUGUUGAAAAAAGAUAGUUGUAUGACCUUUGUUAGCAUAGGAGUAACAACUUGAAAAUGCAUCAAGAAUCUACAAAAUUAUUUAACAUUAGUAGUUAAGAAUGCAGAAAAUAAGGAAACACCCCACAUCACUACAGCGGAUAACAAAUCUGCCACAUAAGCACAAAGAUAUAAAUACUGAGAGUAUUAUUUGAAACUUAGCAAACUCAAACAGGACACUGAUUUGUAGCUAUGCCUGAGGGAAAAAUAAAUCAUGAACACUGAUUUCAACUCCAAGAUGCUUCUAAAAGGCUUGUCUUACACCGAUUGAGGCAAGUCCUUGCUAAACUUUCUCUUUCUUGUAUCUUUUUCAAAAAACGCUCUAUCUCAUUUGCACUUAUUUCUCUCUUCUUCUUCCACGCUUAAUGAAGAAAACCCUUAAUGAAGAAAAAAUAAGAAAUCAACCCUAAACCCCUCAACCCAACAUCCUGGUGUGCUUUCUCAAUCUACAUCCUCCUCAUUUUUUUUAUGACAAAUCUUUAAUUAACGAAAUUCAAGUAAAGAAUAGGUUUGCUUUCAAGUAAUCCUCUGAUUAGGUUUACCUCAUUAAAGAAUUCAUCUGCAUCUGCCCACUGUCCGCUAACUUCAUCGACACAUAAUCUUCUGUAUUAUAUUAUCCCCUUCAUCUCCGUCCUUGGAUGGCGGCAGCAAGAGCACUACCACCUGAAAAUCACAGAGACAGUUCACACUAGGCAAAACUUCCAAACUUGAAUCUUAAACUAAAAACUGUCACUACACCACCGAAAUUAAGACAAAUAAUCCAAAACCCCCAUAAUCACACCACAACACGUAAAGUACCUUCACACCCGAAUCAGACAAUCCAGAGAUGGAAUUCUCAGGAACGGUCUUCAUACCUCUCGCUUAAGUGGGUUAGAAGAGGGAGGCCCGCUUCCACCUAGCCAGCGAGGGUUUGGAAUCAGGAACCAUGGAGUCGGGAUCUGACGGUGAUGGUGGAACAAAAGGACUUUGGAAGACGAAUUGGGUUUCCGAGGGGUCUGCCGCUCUUGAUUCCGGCGCCGUUAGGGCUAGGAGAAGACGAUGGCGUGGAUCGGCAAGAUGGGCAACUCACAGAGAGCGAAAGAGAAUGAGAGAGGAAGAGGAAGUAGAGAGAGUUACCGUUGGAAGAAGGAUGGGGAAUUAUAAAAAAUAGGAUAAUUUUGAAGGAUGUAAAGAGAUUUGAGAUGAAUUUUAAAAAUUAUGACUGUUAGGACAAAUUAGUUGGAAAAAGUCUAUAUUACCCUCAAGUUAAAAAAUAUCCUCAAAUCAAUUUAUGAAUCCUCUCUUCUCCUUCUCCCUCUAUUUUUCCACUUUCUAAAAAUAUUUCAUUUUUCUCUCAUCCCUUCUUGUAUUUCAUUUUCCCUCAUUUUCACAAAAUUUCCUUUUUCUUCCUUUUCCAUUCUUUAAUUCGUUUUCUUGAAAUUCCUUUCUCAAACUCCUCCCAUGGUCUCCCACCGGCCUUUGAAAACCAUGUCGUUCCUUAUCACCUCAUUCUUUGCCUUUUUCAAGCUUCUUCCUUUCUUGAAAUCAAAUCCUCUUUCAUAGAAGUCAUUUAAGCUCUCACAGCUCGUUGUCAUGGUUGUCUCCCACUAUGUAUCAUCUUCGAUAUCUUUCUUAGUUGGACUACGUAGCCAAACAACUCGACAUCUACCACACAAUGUUUAGCGGCAUUGGAGGUUUUUGCCUAGCUUGCUAUGUCUCUCUUUGGCUCAACCUUCCUCACCGGAACGUCGUCGCCCACGACAUUCUCUGUCAGAUUUUAAAGAAGGUAUCGUUCAGCUCCAUAAGACCUAAUUGUCGACUAACAUCGCGGAAGCAAAUGGUGAAGAUGGUUGGUCGAUUUUUCAAAAUCUGUCUAUUUUAGAAACUUGCAGGUUGUUACUGUAGCUAAAAUUGAGCAAUAAUUUAAAAAUUUUGGUAGAUUUCUACCUAAUGAUGUGUAUUUAUUAGGUCUCGGAGGCCCUUGUUUUUGAUUAUUUGUUUGGAUUGGCUCACAUGGAUGGUUCUUGAUGCAUUUGUUGGUGGUGCCAUGAAUAGGAAGGGAAAGAGGGAGAGGUAGUUACCAGUCAGAUGCUCCUAAGGGACGGUUUGGUUCUCAUAGUUUGGGUCGAGGAAGUAGCCAAGAUGCCUAUGGUCAGUUGAGAGGCAACGGUUUCCCUCAGUGGUAUCACAAGGUUCAAUAGUAAUGUUAAUUUGUGGGGAAUUGAUUAUCAAGAUAAGAUGGUACUUUUCCCCCUUAGAUGGUUUUUAAGAUGCAAUUCAAGUGGAAAUUUUUUGACAUUUCAAGUACAAGCACUAGUUAGACAAUGGGAGGGAAAUAGACUUGAGAGAUGAAGACCCUUUUCAUUAAAUUUUACCCUUUUGUAGUAGUUCCGUAGUCAUUAGGUGAAUAUUGUUGCCAUUUUACAAUCAAAUAAUGUAUAAUUGAGUGAGCAUCUUGCCAAAUAAAUGAACAAUUUAGAUCCUUGAAUGCCAUUUUUUCAUCAUGCUUUAUAGUGAGAUUUCGUUAAUCAAAAUCAAUGAACAACUUGAUUUAUGAGAUGUUUGAAUUUUGAAGUUUAGUUUGAAAAAAAAAACUCAUGUGUUGUGUAUAGUUGUUUUUCAAGGAUAACGUUGGAUCAUGAUACAUGUAAGUCUUUCGAUAUGUAACAAUAUCAUAGUGGAGUAUGGAAAAAAAAUUAAGUGAAUUUAUUUUAUGUUUUAGUUAUUUUUCUAAUUUUACAAACAUAUAUAUCCCUUUUAAGUGGGUCUAUUCCGCACGCAUCUCAAACCUAUCUCACAACAUUUUGCACAUUUCAAACUUUCACUAUGAGUUUCACAAUCAAAUUGCUACCGCUUCUAAGUUAUCUCGCACACAUCUUGCACCCAUCUCGCACCUUUCUCGUACACAGGUUAAUUUGUCCUAAAUGUCCUAAAUCUUGCACCUAUCUCGCACCUAUCUCCUACCUUUUCUUCUUCUUAAUUUGCUUUCGUCAAUUUGUGCAAUUCAUUCUCAAAUCUUUCUUACUCCAUUUGUCACUGACCAUCAGGUGCAAUGGAGCAACAAAGCAAACAGCAAAGAGUGAAAGCAAAAGAAAAAGGUCAAUUCUCACAUAAUUAUUUUUAACAUUCUACUUCCACCAUAAGAAAAAUUGCCAUAACAAUUCAUGUGAAGCAUACCUUGAUCUUCAAUGCUCGAUUCUUGCAUGCUUAUCUUGAUACUCGUUUCUUAUUUUUUGAUUGCUCAACUUUAAUUUCUAUCAAUAUGAUAGAGUGGGAAUCAAGAACAAGUAGCAAAAGCGAGCAAGUGUCAAGUCAUCACGAGCUAUAACAAGAUUAAGUUGCAAGAAUCAACUAUUAAGAGUUGUCAUACAUAUUUGUUAUUGGUAAUUUCACUUAUAAUAGCAAAUGCAAAAAAAAAUCUAAAAUAUGGAUCCUUUUUAAAUUUUAAUGGAUGAUCCAUCAACAUUCGAAAUUUAUCGAACUUUGUGUCCACAAAAACAUUGUGCCAUCUAAAAAAAAUCUUAUAUACAUGACGUCCUUGAUAUUCUAAAAAAGAAAGUUUGAAGACUUCAAAUAUAUGUGUAAAUCUUAUAUACUCUAAAAGAUAUUUUCAAGGCCUAUAUACACAUAUACACAUGUACACUGUAGUCAAGUAGGCUUGGUUGGAUGUUAUUGUGACUGUACGAAAUCAAUUAGAGAACUUUGAGAUGGGUUUUUGAUGUUGUAUUGAAGUGAGUUCAAUCAAAGCUUGGAAAAAGCUUUCUUACGCGAAGGUAAGGGGGCGGUCAUACACUCAAUUGAGGGGAGUAUAAGUACAUUAUAUUGAUGGGAUCCAUACAAAGCUUGAAGAAGAGAGUAAUGUAGGAGUGAGGAGGGAGAAGUUAAAGUUAAAACUAAAGAAUAAGCUAUACAGAUAAAUACUCCAUUGUAAUUUAACUCUUUAUAAGUUGAUUUUUUUUUUCUAUUAGGGCAUACAAUCCUCCAAAUAGUAAGUAAUAUUGCACUAAACGAGUUAUGAAUAUUUUCGUCUCACAAUCUCUUUGUUCUUCUUUGAUAUUAUGUUAUUAUAUUUGUCGGCAAUUUUGUUACGCAACCAUACCCUAUUUCUUAGUCAUCUCUAAAAACAUCUCUUUUUUUCCAUAUAUUGACUUUUCUAUGUAAUUUCUUUUCAAAGUGCAUUUAAGAACUAAGUCCCGUAAUUUAAUUUGCCACUAAAACCACUUACUUGAACAAUUGAUUCAUUCGUGAGAGAAAAUUAAAAUUUAAUCGAAGGAAGAACUUUUUUUAAAAAAACAAAAAAAGAAAAAGUUAAUAUAUUUCAAAAAAAGAGUAGGUAAGAUUUAGAGAACGUGUUUUAGGUCGGUCAAAGAAAUUAUGUUUUGAUCUCGAUUAAAUUUAUUUUUUUAGUACAAUAAAGAUCAAAAGAUGUGAACUACAAUUUUUUUGGUCACAACUCAUCGACACAUUUAUAUUAUCCAUAAUAUGAUACUUAACUAUUUUACUAUUCAAAGCAAUCAAAUUUACAUAGGAAUCUUUUUGUAAGAAUGAUUUGUUCACGAGGUCUUUUACGAUUAAUAAACUCGUCCCGUCGUAAAGGAUUCUAACAUUUUUCUUACAUCAUAGUGCACUACUACAUUUUAUAACGCGAUAACCAUUCCUAUUACGGUUUUAGAUGAGAAAAAUGAAAGAAUGUGCUAGAGAUGAUCGUCAAGUUAAGGCCAUGUGUACAUUAUAAAAAGCAAUAGUGUGUUCUAAGGAUAAGUAUAAGUUUGUGAGGGAGAAGUGUUACAUGGGAAAUUAACAAAAAAAUAGGAUAAUUUUUAAGGGUUUAAAAAGUUCUAGGAUAAAUUUUAAAAAAUAUGACAUUUAAGACAAAUUAACUAGGAAAAGUCUAUAUUACCCUUUGGUUAUAAAAAAACCUAAAAAGCAAUUUAUGGAAUUCCUUCUUUUUCCUCCAUUUUCUCACUUCCAAAAAGAAUAUUUCAUUUUUCUCUCAUCUCUCCCUGUGCGUAUUCCAUUUUUCCUCAUUAUCACAAAACCUUUGAUUUCUUUUUUCUUCCUUUCCCAUUUUUCAUUCACAAAACUACAAAAACAAUGAUAGUUUCGGUGAUUUCAUUGUGGAACAUUCACAAAGAUGUGUAUGAGAUAGGUGUGCGAGAUGUGUACGAGAUAGGCUAAGAGGGAUUAAAGAAAAGUUCAAUCAGUUUACAAGCCUAGAGGAUUAAUAGUGGAGAAGAAAUGGAUGGAAGAGAAGAAACGUAGGCACCAAAAGUUGAAGGAAGGAAAAAGAAAAGAGGAAGGAGGAAAUUAAAUGAGAGUAUUUUCGUCAUUUCACCUCUAAUUUGUCCUAAAUGUCAACUUUUUUACAAUCAAUCCUAAAAAUCUUUAUCUACCUCAUCUUUUGCCUAUUUUUGUCAAUUCCCCAAGAAGGAUGGGGAAGAAAUUUGACGGGGAAUUGCCAAGAAGAGUACAAAUUUGACCACAUUUAAGACUUUUGUGACCAAAUUUUAAAAAGAAGAGUUUUGGGACAAAUGGGUAUGUGAAAUAUCUAAAUUACCCUUUAGUUUAAAAAAGCUCUAAAAUUUUGAAACCCACGAUUUCUCCUCACGCAACACAUAUUAUGCUGCUCGCAGGUGACUCCAUUUACAGAGAUAACAAAUCCCAACCAACAAACGGAGACAAUCGAUCAGAUGGAGUGGCGAUGACUUGGGUAGCAACGACAUCUAUUGGGCGACUUGGACAACAACAACAAUUUCUAUGGAUUGUGUGUCAACAAUUUCUAUAUCUUUCUUUACAUAGAUUUUUUUCCUCAUUUUUAUUGCUUAUAUGUUACUUAUGUAUACCAGGUAGGAAAUUUGGUUGCUCUAGUUGAAGAUUGGACAACUAGUGGAAAGCAAGUAUCAAACAACGCUUGAUGGCUUAUUAAAAGCAAAAGAUAUGGACACACAUGGUGUAAUUAGCUUUAGGGUAGGCAUUACAGAAACUGGAGUUAUUGUUUUGUAUUUAUAUUGAACUUAUGUCGAACCAUUUAAUUGUAUUCUUGAAGUUGAUCAUUUGUGAUAUAGAUAUUAUAAUCGAUGUAGUUGAGAAGAAUUUUGUUCUUUCAUUAUCUUUAAUGUAUUAUUCCAACCCUUACUAGAUAGGUGCGAGAUGUGUACGAGACAGUAGGGAUAACAAUUUGAUUUUGAAAUUAUUAGUAAAAGUUUUGAAAAUGUGCAAGAUAGGUGUGAGAUGUGUACGAGAUAGGUGCGAGAUGUGUACGAGAUGUGUACGAGAUAGGCUAAAAGGGAUUAAAGAAAAGUUCAAUCAGUUUACAAGCCUAGAGGAUUAAUAGUGGAGAGUUGUGGAGAAGAAAUUGAUGGAAGUGGAAAAGAAAUGGACGGAAGAGAAGAAACAUUCACCGGAGGCACCAAAAGUUGAAGGAAGGAAAAAGGAAAGAGGAAGGAGGAAAUUAAAUGAGGGUAUUUUCGUCAUUUUACUUCUAAUUUAUCCUAAAUGUCAACUUUUUUACAAUCAAUCCUAAAAAUCUUUAUCUACCCAUUUUUGGCCUAUUUUUGUCAAUUCCCCAACUUUGACGGAGAGGGUUUUGUAUAAAAGGCAAUAAUAAUAAUUCCUAUUCUUUUUAAUAUUAUUUAUUAAUAAAAAUAAUUAAAAGUUUAAAUAAUCCAUCACACAUAUACUUCUUAUCAGUUAUUAGAAUUAAAAAAAAAAAGUCAACAAAUAAAAUUUAUAAAAUUAUCAUACAUCAAGAACAAAAAAAAAUACAUUUGUGAAAUAAAAAAAAAUGUAUAAAAGAUAAAAAAUGAAUCACCUUAAUUUUAAUAAUAUUUUAUAUCUUAUCUCGAAAGAUAUAAAAAAUAUUAAAAUGUAUCUAUCUCGAAAUAGGUUUUCAACUACGUCCCAAGUGGAAUAAAAAAUUGUUACCAAACUCUUAAAUAUAGAAUUUCAUAAUCUCUCCAUAAUUUGUAUGUUAGUAUGAGUUUGUAGGGUGUGUUUGUCCCAUGAAGUUAGAAGUAGUGUAUAAAAGUUGAAGUUGUAAAAUCCAGUUCUUGUUUGACUUAAAUAGUUGGCGGAUCAUUAUUAGAAAUUUAAUUCUAAGCACUCUACUUGUCCAACAUUACAAUUUAUUCAAUUAGAUAGUUAAAAAAAAUGACGUCACAAGGUUCUUUAUUAAUGUCCCUACAAUUCCUUCUUCCAUCUAAUGCUACAAAUAUGAACAAUCAGCAUUCACGAAAGGACAAAAAUUGAACUACAUACAGUACAACAAGAAAACAGAUAAAGUCAAAGCCAAAGUACAUUGUAUUGAUGCCAAACUUGUUUACGAAGCUCAUGAAAUAGAAGUUGAUGCAGACCAUUGGUUGUUUCACACCAACUACUUUUCUAUAGAAAAAUAGCUUACCCAUAAAUUAAGAGACAAUAACCGAGGAGAGCAUAGAAGUUGGAAGGUAUUUACAUUGUUGUUGAUGCAAAGAGAUAGUAAGCAGAGGUUGUUAGAGGAUGUGGAACUUAAGAUCUACAGUAUGGUGGAUAAAUUAUUUGGGUCAACAGUAAUAUUUCAGAGUUUGGAAUGGUGAAAAGAGUUUAUAUACUGUGAUAUUCCAUUCAAUGCACUUACCAUAAAAACGAGGUAGAAGAAAGGAAGAAGAAAGACUAACCUUGAAUCAUUAGCUUCAAGUGUCUAACAGUAGCAGAGGAUGGGCUGGUAGACGACGAACCCUAAGCAAAACCAAUGUGGACGACGGUGAGAGAUCAGCAUGUUGUUGUGAAACAAUCGUGAGAGGCAGGGUAUCGCAGUCGUCGUGUUGGGUUUCAACGUGGCUUUCGUAGUCGUGCUAGAGCGCACUAGAGAGCAAAAUGAAUUAGAUUGAAAGAGGCCGAAAAUGGGGGAAAAUAUUUAGAGGGAACUUAAAUAUUUAUUUCCCGCUUUUUCUUUGUUGUUCUUUUCCACAUCCCAUUUAAAAUAAUGGGCUAUUAAAAGUUCAUUUUGGUGUAGUGCUAUUUGUGUCUCGAUCGUCCAUUUUCGUUCAAACUACUUUAAAGAUACAAGUAUGAUAACCAACAACACGAUCGAAAGAAUUGGUCUAUGCAACUUCAACCUACGUGGCUUUAUCAGGUUCACACACACAAUGAGUGACUUUCCUUCGUUUGGAUCCAUUUCGAAAAUUGUACUCUAUGGCCCAAAAUGAAAGGCCCAUCGUCUAUUUACUCAAAUCCUAGCAAUAAUUUAUUCUCACUUAAAAUUUUAAACGUAUAUGGAAAGUCCACAAUGCUCGACCCAAAAUUAACUUAUAAAAAUACCAAACCAUAGUCUUGCCUAUUUGGUAGUUAAUUUGAGUCUCAAAGCCCGACCCCAAUUACAAGAACACUCUCUCAUGAGAGACCCCAUUAUAAGAACACAUUCUCAAAGUUUUUAACCACUCACAUUUUUUAUCCACUCUCCAACUAGAUAAUACAGAAGGAAUUUAAUUAGAGUAAUCACACUAAAACUUAAAAUGUUUAUAAGUGAGAAUUUCUAAAUAAAUGAAAUAGGUUUCUUUUAUAGUCUUUGAGUCAAACUUUUCUAUAAAAAAAAUGGAUGUGAGAUAACCACAUCUUGCCAAACCCAAUACUUAAAAACAAACAAAUCAAAUCAUUAUUUUUACAAAAAAAAAAAAAACUAAAAAAAUGCAAGUCGAUUCCUAUUUAUUAAAAUAAUAAAGAAAACCAGUUACCAAAAUAUGAAAUUUGUUUUUAAAAAAUCUACAUCUAAAGAUCUACCAUAUUCAUAAAUUAAUAAUUCUUGUGUGAUUUCACAUUGAGAUCAUAAAUAACUUAAAAUUACCAUGUCGAAGGAAAUUUUUUUCGACAAGAGCCUAACUUAUAAAGGAAUGAUGGAAAAUAAUAUGGUGCAACCUUCAAAACAACAUAAAUAAGAAAAUAUUGCAACAUAGUUAGCAAAUAAGAGAGAAAGAGAAUGUAACCUGAAAAGGAAGUUUAUGAUUAAUUUCAUAAUUGUUGUGGUUUUGUCCAUGAUCUCUUUAAUAUUUUCUAUUAUCUUCAUUGCACUCCUAGUAAUUGAUACCCUUAGGCAACCACGGCUCAACAUCCUUCUUACAAAAAAAAUAGGCAAAAGACGAGGGGGCUUGUAGAGGUUAAUAAAAAAAAGGGGCAGAAUAGUAAAGGAUAAUGAAAACACAAAGAAAUGUAAUUACAGGGCGAACUUUUUGUGGGAGAAAUGGUAGAAUAAUUUGUAGAAAUUUGAUCGUCUUUUUUAUGUGAAGAAGACAAGAAGAACAAAGGAUAACAUAAAAGCAAAUUAGAAAUUCGUGGAGUUAUUACGGGAAAAACUAGCUCUGAGAGAAAGCUUGAAGAGAGAAAAUAAAUGAAAGGUACUCUGAUUUUGUGGACAAUGGCAAUCCACAACUCUCUUGUACAUUAUUUAAAAUAGAAAAUAGAAACUAGAACAUGAACCCCAUUGAUAAAUAAACCGCUAGCCUAACAAAAACCGUAAACCCCGAAUCCCUAACCCCUAAACCCCUUUGCUAUAGUAAAUGGUAUUUAAAAAUCUCAAAUUAACUAUCUUAAACACUAUUUCAAAUCCUCAAUUUCCUAUAAUAUUUAUUAUUUACUACGAUAUUUGUUAAAUUAUUUUUUUGUGAAGUUACAAAACUAUACUUGUUGAAAUACUUUGAAAAUUAUUCAAAAGAGAUGGAAAAAAAAAAGAUGCAGUGGAAAAUACAUCCACGUAUAUUUUCACAAUUUCAAAAUUAAUUUGACUAAAUACAAUUUAAUUUAGUCAAACCCUAAACCCUAGACCCGUAAACCCCUAAACAAACUCUUUUGUGAAUGAUAUCUUUGCGCCUAUAGCUCCUUUGACCGGAGUUAUCCCCUUUCCUCUCAUACUCUACUAGACUCUAUAAACUCCUAAUACUAGGAUUUUCAUAAUUCGAGAUCCGAACAAGGAGUUAGCUAUUUUAGUCAACUCCCUUCCUUGCAAAUCUGGACCCAAACACCCCAACAUGGUAACAAACGACUAUAAAAAAAAAAAAAAGUAAUAUCCACAAAAAUAGACAUGGUCCAAAUUCGAAAAAUACCUGUUUCUUGGUGAUGGAAUGGAGGGUUUGAGAGUGAUUGUGGUGUCCCCAUAGUUAGCAACCAUAUUGGUGGAGAUCAAGUAUUUGGUGUAAGUUAACAGAAGGUAUGAAGUAGAUGUUACAUAUUGCAUAUUACUGUCGCUCAUUCUGAACAGCAACCCUCCUUCACAAAACGGUAGGGGGAAGGGGUUAAACUUCAUUUUCUUUUUACCAUUUUACCGAUAAUAAAAAUAAAAAAGUAGUCGUUGAUCAUCAAAAUAAAAAAAGACAUGGAGUGUAUUUGGGGCAGGAGAAUGAUUCUCCGAGAAUGAUAAAGCAAAUGGCGCUGUUGUUGGGGGUUCUUGGCACGGUGUAGGAACUUUAGUUGAACCUUGCUGAAACUUUUGUUAGUUAAACAAUUGAAAGCAUAUUUUUAUUUUUACAAUAAUAGCAGCCAUACACACAUAUAUAAUAAAAGUUUUACAUAUUCUUAUCUCUUGAAUUUAUCUUUUCUUAAAUAGUACCAUAUAGAAGAGAAAAUAUAAAAAGAUCGCAUGCUCCCUUUUCCUCUUCUUGCUUAUAGUUUUGCACGAUCUUUACUCUCUCCUUGGUUUUUGAUGCAUGUCUUCUGCUCUAAAUAACAUAGAAAAUUUUGAAGACAUGAUAUGAUUAAAUAAAGAAGAUUAAGAAGAAGAAGAAAGAAACUUAAAAGAUAAAUUAGUUUAGGGCAAAACAAUCUUCAAGAAGAUCCACCCUUAGAAACACAUACCUGAAACCGAAACUUGAAACAGAACCUUGAAACCUAAACCUUGAACCCCAACAAACGAACCACAAAACCCCAAACCUUCAAACCCCAAAACUCCUAAACCCAAAACUUGAAACUCCAAACGCUCCAUCCCGAUGCUCGAAAUCACGAACCUCGAACCGAUCCAUGCACCCUAAACCCCGAAACCUGAAACCCUAAAAUCCAAACCCCCAAACCCCAAAACUUCUAAACCCAAAAAACCUCAAAACCUCAAACGCUCCACCCCGGAGCCUGAAAUCACAAACCCCAAAUCGAUCCAUACAUCUUAAACCCCGAAACCUAAAACACGAAACCCUAAAUCCCUAAAAACCGUAAACCGUAAACAAUAAACCCUAAACUUUAGCCCCUAAACCAUAAACCCUAAAGUACCCCAAAACCACAAACCUCGAAAGCUCGAAAGCUCGAAAAGUCUAAACCUUGAAACCUAAAACCCCUAACCAACCCUCAAACCUCCAAACCCCCAACCCCCAAACCCAAAAACCUCGAAACCUGAAACUUGAAAACCGAAACGCUCUACCCUGAGACCUGAAAUCCAACGAACUCCCAUAACCCUGAAAACCCCUAAAAACCUAAAACCGUAAACCAUAAAUCCUAAAUUUUAACCCUUAAACCAUAAACCCUAAAGUAACCAAAGUACCAAACCACGAACCACGAACCCCGAACCCCAAACCACGAACCCUGAACCCCAAACCCCAAUCCCCAAUCUCGAAACUCGAACCCUAAAAUCCUAAACACUAAACCCUAAAGUACCUUUAACCUCAAACCCCAAACCCCGAACCUUGAACGUCGAACCUCCAACCUUGAACCCUGAAACGAAACCUAAAACCCAAAAACUACAAACCUCGAAACCCAACCCACAAACCUUCAAACCCAACCCCAAACCUUCCAACCCCAAACCUCCAAACCCCAAACCCAACCCUGAAAAUCGAUAUCUAAAACCUGUAAUCCUAACUUCAAACUUUGUUGGUGGAGAUAACAAUUUCUAUUAUUUAGGGAGUAUCUAUGCAUUUUGCAUUAUGGAUUGGUUAGAAAUUUUUAGUUUCUUAUUAUGAUUCGAAUUACAUGCAUUUUGGGUAUCAAACUUUGAUUAAUAUUGGUCAUCGUCUCAGAAUCUAAUAACACACAACCCUAUAACUCUAACCUAAACCCUAAACCCUGAAACCCCAAACGCUCCACCCUGAAUCCCAAAAUCACGAACACUGAACCAAUCCAUGCACCUUAAACCUCGAAACCUAAAACCCUAAACCCUAAACCCCUAAAAAACCGUAAACCAUAAAUCCUAAACUUUUAACCCCUAAACCGUAAAACCUAAAGUAACCCAACCACGCAACCCGAACCAACCCGAACCCAAAAUCCUAAAUAAUAAACCCUAAAGUACCCCAAACCCAAACCCCGAACCUCGAACCCGAACCUUGAACCCAGAACGUGAAACCUAUAAUCCCAAAACCACAAACUUCGAAACCUCGAAAAGUCUAAACCUUGAAACCCAAAACCUCUAUACCCAAACCCAAAACCUUCCAACCCUCAACCCCCCCAAACCCCAAAACCUCAAAACCUCGAAAAGUCUAAACCUCGAAACCCAACCCCAACCUCUCAAACCUUCCAACCCUUAACCCCUAAACCUUCCAACACCCAAACCUCCAAACUCCCAACCCACCACACAAAACCCUAAACACCAAAACUCAAAAUCUGAAACCUGAAAUCCUAACUUCAAACUUUGUUGGUGGAGAUAACAAUUUCUAUUAUUUAGGGAAUAUCUAUGUAUUUUGUAUUAUGGAUUGGUUUGAAAUUUUAAGUUUCUUAUUAUGAUUCGAAUUACAUGCAUUUUGGGUAUCAAACUUUAAUUAAUAUUGGUCAUCGUCUCGAAAUCUAAUAACACACAGCCUUAAAACUCUACCCUCAACCCUAAACCCUGAAACCCCAAACGCACCACCCCAAAGCCCAAAAUCACGAACCUCGAACCAGUUCAUGCACCCUAAACCCAAAAAUUGAAACCGUAAAUCCCAAAUCCUCUAAACCCCUAAACUCCUAAACCUCAAAACUCCUAAAUCCGAAAUCCGAAACCUGUAAUCCUAACUUCAAACUUUUUUUGGUGGAGAUAAAAAUUUUUAUUAUUUAGGGAAUAUUCAUGGAUUUAGUUUGAAAUAUUGAGUUUUUUAUUAUGAUUCGAAUUACAUGCAUUUUGGGUAUCAAACUGUUGUUUAAUAUUGGUCAUCGUCUCAGAAUCUAAUAACACCCAGCCCUAUAACUCUAACCUAAACCCCAAACACUCCACCCAAAUCUCGAAAUCACGAACCCCGAACCGAUCCAUGCACCCUAAACCAGAAAUCUGAAAUCGCAAACCAUAAAUCCUAAACUUUAACCCCUAAAUCAUACACCCCAAAGUACCCCAAACCUCAAACCACGAACCCCAAACCUCAAUCCCGAAACUGGAACCCAAAGUCCUAAACACUAAACCCUAAAUACCCCUAACCCUGAACCCUAAACCUCGAACCUCGAACCUCGAACCUUGAACCUGAAACCCUGAAGCCAAAACCACCAACCUCGAAACCUCGAAAAGUCCAAACCUCGAAACCCAAACCGCAAACCUUCCAACCCUCAAACCCCAACCCCAACCCCAACCCAAACUCCAAAACCCCAAACCUCAAAAGUUCGAAAACCUAAACCUCGAAACCCAACCCCUACCUCUCAAACCAUCAAACCCUAAACCCUAAACCCUAAACCCUAAACCCAAAACCACAAAACCCCAAAACGACCAAACAAUCCUUAAGUGUAAGUUCGUAACUCACAAACUAACAAAAAGUUCAAAAUGUGUGAAAAUGCACUUUGAGACCUAAAAUGGCAACCAAGUAUGCAAGUGAAACAAACCUAGUCUUAAACAAAUCUAAAAUUUGUUCAAACUAUGUUUAAGUAUCACUUGAACUUUCAGAACGACCUAAGAACGUUUACUUGUAAGUUUGUCACUCAUAACCUACCAAAAAAUUCAAAAAGUACGGAAAAGAAAAAAACACUACAGGACCCAAAAUGGCAACCAAGUGUGCAAGUGCAACAAACUUAGUUCCAAACGAACCUAAAAAGUGGUCAAGGCGUGUCUAAGUAUUACUUGGACUUUCAAAACGACCUAACAAAGCUUAAGUGUAAGUUGGUAACCCAUAGCCUACCAAAAAGUUCAAAAAGUGUGAAAAGGGCACUUCAAGACCCAAAAUGGCAACCAGGUGGGUAAGGUCAACAAACUUAGUUUCAAACCAACCUACAACGAGUUCAAAACGUGUCUCAGUAUCACUUGAACUUUUAAAACGACCUAAAAAUCUUACGUGUAGGUUCGUAACUCAUAACCUACCAAAAAAGUUCAACUAGUGUGAAAAAAGCACUACAAGACCCAAAAUGGCAACCAAGUGUGCAAGUGCAAUAAACUUAGUGCAAACCAAGCUAAAACGUGCUCAAAACGUGUCUAGGUAUUACUUGAGUUUUCAAAAUGACCUAGCAAAUCCUAAGUGUAAGUUUGUAACUCAUAAUCUACCAAAAAGGUUGAAAAAAGAAUUUCAAGAACAAAAAUGACAACCAAGUGUGUAAGUGCAACAAACGCAAUCUAGCCUAAAAUGUAAUCAAAAUGUGUGUAAGCAUCACUUGAAUUUUCAAAACGACCAAACAAUGCUUAAAAUGUAAGUUUGUAACUCACAACCUACCAAAAUUUCAAAAAGUGUGAAAAAAGUACUUCAAGACCCAAAACGGAAACGAAGUAUCUAAGUGCAACGAACUUAGUUUCAAGCCAUCCUAAAAAGAGGUCAAAACGUGUCUAAGCUUUCAAACCGACCAAACAAUACUCAAGCGUAAGUUCGUAACUCACAACCUACAAAAAUUUCAAAAAGUGUGAAAAAAAAGCACUUCAAGACCCAACAUGUCAACCAAAUGUGUAACAAACAUAGUUCCAAACAAACACAAAAUGUGUUUAAAAGGACCUAACAAUGCUUAAGUGUAAGUUCGUAACUCAUAAACUAACAAAAAGUUCAAAAUGCUUGUGAAACAAGUAUGCAAGUGAAACAAACUUAGUCUUAAACAAAUCUAAAAAAUUUCAACGUGUUUAAGUAUCACUUGAACUUUCAGAACAACCUAAGAAUGUUUAUUUGUAAGUUCGUCACUCAUAACCUACCAAAAAGUUCAAAAAGUAUGGAAAAAAAAAACACUCGAGGAUCCAAAAUGGCAACCAAGUGUGCAAGUGCAACAAACUUAGUUCCAAACCAACCUAAAAAGUGGUCAAGGCGUGUCUAAGUAUCACUUGGACUUUCAAAACGAUCUAAGAAAGCUUAAGUGUAAUUUGGUAACCCAUAGCCUACCAAAAAGUUCAAAAAGUGUGAAAACAGCACGUCAAGACCCAAAAUGGCAACCAAGUGGGUAGGUCAAUAAACUUAGUUUCAAACCAACCUAAAACGAGUUCAAAACGUGUCUAAGUAUCACUUGAACUUUCAAAAGGAUCUAAAAAAGCUUAUGUGUAGGUUCGUAACUAAUAAGCUACCAAAAAGUUCAAAAAGUGUGAAAAGAGCACUUGAAGACCCAAAAUGACAACCAAGUAUGUAAGUGCAACAAACUCAAUCUAACCUAAAAUGUAUUCAAAACGUGUGUAAGUAUCACUUGAACUUUCAAAACGACCAAACAAUGCUUAAGUAUAAGUUUGUAACUCACAAAGCCUACCAAAAUUUCAAAAAGUGUGAAAAAAGCACUUCCAUGACCCAAAAUGGCAACCAAGUGCACAAGUGCAACAAACUUAGUUCCAAACCAACCUAAAAAGUGAUCAAGGUGUGUCGAAGUAUCACUUGGACUUUGAAAACAAUCUAGCAAAGCUUAAGUGUAAGUUGGUAAUGAUAGAACUAAGACAUGCACAGCAGAAAAAAGAAUCGAAUUUCUACCCUAAUUGCCACAAUUAACAUGUAACCCUAAACUAAUCAAGUUAGGGUUUUAGGAAAUAUUACCUUUGAAGCUUUCAAAAAACUUUGAUACCUUCUUGUCAAUUCAAACCGAGACCACCACUAGUACUCAACUACUAUUCUCUUGGACAAAGAACCGGGUUGUGGGACCCAAUUUGGUGUAGAAAGAAAUGAAGAUAAAAUGGAAUUGGAAGGUAGAAAUUUUUUUCUUUUGUUGAGAUGUUGGAGGAUAAUAAAAAAGGCAAAAGUCUUCAACAAUUUGAAAACUCCCCUAUUAUCCUAAUUACAUGCAAAAAUGCAUGUAGUUAAUUUGCCAAAUCUCAACACCUAAUGUUCCACUAACAAUUAGUGGAACUUAGUGGGCUAGGUGUCUAUAUCUAUAGCCACAUAUCCCACUAAGAGUUAGUGGGAUUAUCCAACAAAAAUGUUGGAUUUUGUCACUAACUUAGUCCAAGGGUAAAAUGGUCAUUAAAUAUUUCAAGUCAAAAGUCAAACUUUGACUUUUCUUAGUCAAAAGUCAACAUUUUGACUUUUUACUAUUUUUGACUAAUUCCAUCAAUUCCGAGCUUCUUAGUAUGAAUCCGCAUUCAUACUUAUAGUAUGUAAAACAUAAAGCUCUAUUUCUAAUUAGAAAGCUCUAUUUCUAAUUAGAAGACCGACAACUAUAUCACUAUAUUUGUCGGUUUCUCUUUCUUCUUCCAAUUCGAACAAUUCGAUUUAUUUCAUCACACUGUUCUAAGUUUAAUCCAUAUGAGCUAGCAGGGGAACCUAAUGGACCUAUAGAUCAUGGCCUCCAACGAUUCAAGAUUAACUAGCCAAACUCUUUUAGACCGAGUUAAUCAACAUUCGUUAACUAACGGGUCAUUCCACUAAAGUCCCGUAGUUGCACUCCCCUCACUAUAGAUAUAUGUGUGUCCAUUUGAUAAAACCAUAAUCAGUAAGUUAAUCCUUCACAGGUUGCUCGUAACCUUGGCUGGGUCAAAAAUACCGUUUUACCCCCCAAGAUUACAUUUUGGCUUCUUAAGUCCCACUAAUCCACUAUUGAACAAUUGGUUUAAGGUUCAACCUAUAAACUUAAUCCCUCUCGCGGCGCAAUGAGAGGGUGGGGGCCCCUUGUUCAAGACUUGGAUUCAGUGCUUAAGAGAACAACCUAUCUACUAAACCUAAAGCGGGUAGGAGUGAAUUCCAUCUUGUACCCUAUGUUCCCAGUUAUCCACUAGAUCUUACCCCUGAAAUGGGAGGCUUAUUGGGUCAACCCUGAUGAGCUGCCCUCAUCUAUGCAGAUCUAAGGAUAAUCUCGUGUGAACAGGAGUUCAUAGUUAACUCAGAAUUAAGAUUAAGUUACCUAGGUCAUCAAUAAUCGAGAUAGUCAGUUUUAAACAGUAAACGGUGUUAUAACGUAAAAAAGACUAAUUCAUGGUUUAGUCUUAUGUAAACACUUUACAUAGGAUGCCCCCACUUUCAUGUCUCUACAUGAACGAUUCAGGAUCACCUCGUUUGUACUACAAAGUGGGCCGCAUCCAUAGUUUCUCUAAAUAAGGCGCCCAACCUUUAUUCAUAUACUAUAGACUAUUUAGGCUAUAUAUACUCGAACUUGAUCCACGUUUAUAUUUACACAUAAAGUUCAAGUUUAUUCAAAAAAUAGCCUUGGAACUUGAUUUAUUGGAUUUAGGAUUAUUUAAUUUCUCAAUAACAACUUUAUUGAAACAAAAUAUGAUUACAAACUACGAGUUUUAGGACAAAAAAUUCCAACAGGUAACUCAUAGCCUACCAAAAAGUUCAAAAAGUGUGAAAAGAGCACUUUAAGACCAAAAUGACAACCAAGUGAGUAAGGUCAACAAACUUAGUUUCAAACCAACCUAAAACAAGUUCAAAACGUGUCUAAGUAUCACUUGAAUUUUCAAAACGACCUAAGAAAGCUUACGUGUAGGUUCGUAACUCAUAAGCUACCAAAAAGUUCAAAAAGUGUGAAAAGAGCACUUCAAGAUGACAACCAAGUGUGUAAGUGCAACAAACUUAGUAUCAAACCAACCUAAAACGUGCUCAAAACGUGUCUAGGUAUUACUUGAGUUUUUAAAACGACCUAGCAACUCUUAAGUUCUUCUGCCUUCUCCUUCAACGCUUAGACAGAUUGUUGAAAUUCUGUGUUUCUGCAAUGUUUCCCAGAACAUGAAACAUUCGUUACAGAAAUAAAUACCAUGAAUACAAACCGUGAAGAAACAGUAAAAAACAGUCAAUACAAGAAGCAAGUGGAAACUCAGAAGUUUCAUAUUUCAUCAGGAUGAUUUUCAUUCUGAUUGUCUAAUAUUCAACUCUAAUUACAUAAGGUGCAUUAGUGUGUAAGCAAAGACGGAAACAAAAGAAACAUAACUCACAUUACCGCCUUCUCUAAUUGAUCCAUUUGCAUCACGUAUGCAGUAGACCUGUUGCGUUUGGAACUGUUGAAAUUCAAUAAAAAGGAGUUAACAUCAUCUCAUCCUACAAAACAAAAUCCACAACUAUAGAAUAAAGAUUGUCAGAGCAUACAACUACAAUGAUAAUGGGAGUGCUUCCCAUCAUCUUGGUCUCUCGCACCUCAACAUCUGAAAUGUGCAGAAUCUGUUUAUUAUAACAGAAAUAAUUACUUUUAAGUCAUAGAAAAAAGCCUUACAUUAAUUAGAAUACCAUCCACCUAUCAAGGUGUGUACAGACCUCAAACAAUAGCCAAAGCACAAGGGGUGUGUUUAAUGCAAUUAUGAACCCUUCAAUAUAAAAAAAAUGAUUAAUAAUAAAAUACUCAGAUGUUUUCUUUCACUCUCGUACUAUUGUUUAAGUGCUUCUUGGUCAAGCACCUAGACCAAAAGGCUAUCUAUGAGCGUUUUCUAGUUUCUGAAAAAAGAAAUACUCUAAUGUGUGGUCGUACUAGCAUAAACAGUCGUAGAUAAUUAUGAGAUGAUACCCUUCGUAAUGGGAUAAGAUAAUACUUACUAUUAUUUAGUAUUUUCUUUUAUUUAAUUGAAGAAAUAAUUGGAAAAUAAAACAGAAAGUACAAAAAUGAGUAAUAACCCCUAGUAGAGACCAAUACGAUUCAAUUCAACAUUUUGUUUGGUCUCUCGACAUGAUGAUAAUUUUUACCUAGAGUGCUUUUGCUUUACCUAGAGUGCUUCUAGGCCAUAAUGCAAUUAUUAACACGUGACAGAGUUCCCACAUAUGACUUUAUUCUCUCAUUGUUGCCCAUUAUGUAAAGUUGUCGAUGAAACACCAGCCAGUUUAUUAGUUGCCAUUUUGCUGAAAAAUUUAGGAAGCAGAUCUAUCUCUCCUUUGGUUAAUGCCACCCUAUGAAACAAAUAUUAUGAACCUUCUUUUAUGCACCCUCACUGGCACUCUUUACUGACUUUAAAAGAAUUAUGUGGAUGCAUCUUAUUCGGAAAUUUUUACAAAUUCGCAUGGAAGGAACAUGAACAAUCGCCUCCUUAGUGAAAAGGCAUGCCUUAAGAUAGGUUUUUUAUUCUUUUUAAAAUAUAAUCUAUCCUGCUAUGACUUAGUGCAAUUUUUCAUGUCUCUAUAGCUAUUCCAAUCUCUAUUCUUGCAUCUCUUCUGACUGAUUGGAGAAAUCUCUUGUAAACUCUAUUGGCGUGGGUGUUCCACCAAACCUUUUGUAAAUUUCAUACAUCAAUAAAAUUACUUCUUAUAAAAAAAAAAUAAGGGGAAGAAACUACGUUUUAGAGACAGAUGGCUCUAAAGCACAUACAAACAAUCUCCAUCUCACUCUCUAUCUGCCCUGUUUCCAAUUUAAUCCGACAUUCAUUUGAGGUUAUUGUAGGUUCAUAUUUAGAAAUAGUCAUUCAUGUUGUGAUGCAAAAUCCUUUUUAUGUAUCUAAAACUAAAAUCACGAAAAUCAUCGUGGACAUGCAGCACAACAAACUAAAUUUUCACGGGAAGCCUUUGCUAACAAAAUCAUAGACAAUAAUUACUCAAACAAGAGAGAAAGACUAUAAUUAAUUAACAGAAGUACAAAUCAAUAUAGGUGCACAACCACCAAGCAAGAGAGAAGAAACAAUAAACUUCAAUAACAAAAGAAAGGUAGUAUCAGGACUAUCCUUACUUGUUAUCGAAGAAGAUACCUUGGCCCUGGUAAGCCCGAUACUCUUCCAUACAACGUUCAAUUACCUCAGUACUACAGCGUUUUUUUCAAAGUUUGGGAAUCUACCUAAAACAUAAAUAUAUAUUACAACUUGAAAACCUCCAUGUCAGAAACUUUACUUUAAUUAUCAAACCAGAUGCUAUGCAAGAAUUAGUUAGCAGAAAUACAACAUAAAUAGUAAUGAUAUUCUUUGGGGAGGGGAUAAAAGCAUCUUUCAUCUUAGAAAUAAGCUUAGCAGUUAGCAUUAACCUUUAUAUUUUGAUUACGUCUUAAACUUCAUCUACAAAAUCUGGUAAACAGAAAGACCUAAUCCAUAAUGCUAAAGAGGAAAAGACCAAGUCAGAUUCCUUUAUUCAAACAGGUUAGUAUCACAGCUCCAAAAGGAAAAAACUUACGGAUCUCUACGACGAAUUCCUUGAAUGAUGUAGCAGCAUCUGAUGCUUGAAACACGGUUUCAUUUAUGUUGUGAAAAAUAAGAUCGAUAAAUAAAACUUUUGGCUACAAUUAGCCACAGAAACAUAAAGUUGUGACAGGAAAAUAAAAGCUAACAGAUAAUUAACUAUACAGUUUGUAGGCAAAAUACCAAAUAGCCCAUAAUCAAGAUCACAACUCAAGCAGACAAUAAUGUGUAGUUUAUCAUUUCCAACCAAAUAAUUCAAUAAUACAUAAGGUCAAAUGGCCAAAUAAUAUGGCCUUUCACAUAAAUACUUGCUCCCUGAAUAUUUUGAACGAUAAUGUUAUCGUUUCUCUCCCACGUUUCACGAAGGUGUUGGAAUUUUUUGUCCUAAAACUCGUAGUUUGUAAAUCAUAUUCUGUUCAAUAAAGUUGUUAUUGAGAAAUUAAAUAUUAUAAUCUUAAAUCCAAUAAAUCAAGUUCCAAGACUAUUUUUGAAUAAACUUGAACUUUAUGUGUAAACAUAAACGUGGAUCAAGUUCGAGUAUAUAGCCUAAAUAGUCUAUAGUAUAUGAAAUAAAGGUUGGGCGCCUUAUUUAGAGAAACUAUGGAUGCGGCCCACUUUGUAGUACAAACGAGGUGAUCCUAAUCGUUCAUGUAGAGACAUGAAAGUGGGGACAUCCUAUGUAAAAUGUUUACAUAAGACUGAAUCAUGAAUUAGUCUUUUUUACGUUAUAACACCGUUUAUUGUUUAAAAUUGACUAUCUCAAUUAUUGAUGACCUUGGUAACUUAGUCUUAAUCCUGAGUUAACUAUGAAUUCCUGAUCACACGAGAUUAUCCUUAGAUCUGCAUAGGUGACGGUAGCUCAUCAGCGUUGGCCCAAAAGCCUCCCAUUUCAGGGGUAAGAUCGGGUGGAUAGCUGGGCACAUAGGGUACAAGAUGAAAUUCACUCCUACCCGCUUUAGGGUUAGUAAAUAGGUUGUUCUCUUAAGCACUGAAUCCAAGUCUUGAACAAGGGGCCCCACCCUCUCAUUGGCCCGAGAGGGAUUAAGUUUAUAGGUUCAACCUUAAACCAAUUGUUCAAUAGUGGAUUAGUGGGACUUAAGGAGGAAGAUGUAAUCUUGGGGGUAAAACGGUAUUUUGACCCAGCCAAGGUUACGAGCAACCUGUGAAGGAUUAACUUACUGAUUAUGGUUUUAUCAAAUGGACACAAAUAUAUCUAUAGUGAGGGGAGUGCAACUACGGGACUUUAGUGGAAUGACCCGUUAGUUAACGAAUGUUGAUUAACUCGGUUUAAAAGAGUUUAGCUAGUUAAUCUUGAAUCGUUUGAGCCCAUGAUCUAUAGGUCCAUUAGGUUCCUCUGCUAGCUCAUAUGGAUUAAACUUAGAACAGUGUGAUGAAAUAAGUCGAAUUGUUCGAAUUGGGAGAAGAAAGGGAAACCGACAAAUAUAGUGAUAUAGUCGUCGGUCUUCUAAUUAGAAAUAGAGCUUUAUGUUUUACAUACUAUAAGUAUGAAUGCGGAUUCAUACUAAGAAGCUCGGAAUUGAAGAAAUUGGUCAAAAAUAGUAAAAAGUCAAAAUAGUAAACUUUUGGCUUU